AGACAAGAAAGCAGUUGAGAAAGGAAGUGCGAGAGGGGUUUCUCUGUAGUUGUCAAGCAAUUGAUCCCCAAGGACCUUUCUCGUACGUAUACCCAAUCUCAUCGUGUACCACGACUAUUCAUGAAAAAUCUAUAUAAAUAUUGUGGUGCACUUUGACAGAGCUUACAGAAACCCGAAUUGAGGCCAAUUCGCUUGUUGACACCUACGCCCAUCUUUAUUUCUGUCCAAUAUUUGUGCUUCCAAAAGAUCAGCCCUCGUAGAUUUCACAAGGUUCUAGAGAAAGCUAAAUUUUUGUACACUCAGAAAAAACCUUAUUGGAAAAUCGGUGUGAGAAACAUCUUUUAAAUGUGCAAAGACUAAGAGUGCCCUGGCCACAAAAAGAGAGAGAGAGAGAGGACUAUCGCCAUUGUUAUUCAUGCAAAUUUAAGGGAGUAUUUUCUUUUUCUAAUUUUUGAACAUUGCCAAAACAACUAAGGUCUAAUAAUAACAUGACCAUUAUGCUACACUUUCAAGUUGUAAUAUAAUCCAUUCAUCAGUGUGUAUCACGGGCUACUGCUAGUUUCUAAGCAGUCAUGUGGUACGACUCUUGCUAUAAAAGUUAAGGAAAAAUGAACUUCCCGUGGUGGGGGAGGAUCGAUCCUUAGACAGGACCAGGGAAGAUGGAACGGAUAAAAGAAGAAAAAUUUGUAGGUGACUUACCAAGAAACUUGACGAAAGGUUCAAGUGAAGAACGGGCAAGGGGAUGAUCCCACUCCAGUGACUCCCACAUCUGCUGAUUUAUCCGAAUCUCUCGAAGAGAAGGGGGAGGCCCAUUGUCAAGCAGGGGCAGCUGCAGAGGAAUCCUCUUCAGUUUUGGACAAUUAUCUAUAGAAAUCUGCCGGAGGGUAUCCCAACUCGUGGUCCCAUCACAUAUGCUCUUCAGCUCCGGAAGAUUCCGUAGACCCAGGUUCAUUAUCUUUGGGAAGGAACGGUGCGUCAUUUCGGCAACAGUGCCUAUUAUCACCUCUAUGCCCUUGCAGUCUUUGACUAAUAUCUUUGGAGGAAAGGGAGGUGGAGCAACAUGUCUUCCGUCAGCAGCUCCCUCUUUAUGUGUUGCAUCCAAUUACUUCAAGAUACGUAAGGCGACAAGUGGCUCUGCUUGGCAAUGGCCCAUGUAUUAUCUCCUCUAACUUCUCACAACUAUGUACAAUAAUUUUCUCCAGAUUUGGAAGGAGCGUGGUCAGCCACUCCCAUUCCACCACUCUCUUAAUUUUAUGACACCUGGACAAUUCCAAUGAUUGCACACUUUCCGGAAGCAGAGCGCAGCCAUCACCGCUUGUUCCGUCUACACUCGCAGCGAUAUGGUCCCAACCAUCGAUGAGUAUAGACCUAUCAGGAUCAUCCACAAGCCAAAGGUUGUAAGCGUUUGGUGUCGCGAGCGUGUACUGUCGGCAACUAUUUUGCAUGAGAGACCCCACACAUGCAUUGAAUGUUUCCACAUCAGCAACAGAACAAUAAAGUGCCUCCAACUUUGUUGAUUUUACCUCUUCUCCUGCCCUCAGCUUUUCAAUCGUAAGAUAUUGCAAGUUCACCAGCUUCUCCAACACUCCCUUAGGUAAUGUCUUGAUCAUUGUGCCAUCUAGGGCGAGGUAUCUUAGGUUUACCAACAUCUCCAUGCCAUCUGGUGCUUCUUCAAGACUUUGAGACCCUUGAAGGUCCAACUUUCUUAGAGAUCCCAACUUUCCUACAGAAGGAAUAAAACGUAAUGCCAAACAACUUGGCAGUAAUAGUGCUUCCAAGCUCUCCAACUGAGAGAUGGAGUUUGGUAAUUCCGUGAUUCCAGUGUAGCAAAGAUCUAGAACCGUCAACCCCUUUAGAUGUCUGAAGAAAGAUUCAUGGAUGACUCCCAACAUGUCAUUGCCAUUCAAAUACAGGCUCGUCAGUUUAGGGCAAUUUGGUGAUAUGCCAUCUGGGAUUUCUUCUAUAUUGUUUCCUUGUAAAAAGACUUUCUCUAGAUGAUCAUUCCAGAAUACUUCCUCCGGUAUUUCUUUCAACCCCAUAUAGGCCUUAACCAUGUGAGUUGUGCUCGUCACCAUAUGCAAUGCCAUGUCCCUUGUCAAAGGGUGCAGACACCGAUACUCUAUGUUUGGAUCCAACAGGCAGGACCCUCUUAUUUUAUCCAAUAUGGUGUUACCCCGAUCGUGCAGUCCUUGCUUGGUGGCAAUUCCACCUAACAAACCCUCAUCAAUGAAAGACUCUAUCAAAUCCUCCUCUCCACUAGCUCCUGAAAGGACAAGUGCUUCUCCAAAACGAAGUAUUAGAUGCAGGAAACACUGUUGCACUUGACCAUUACCCAAGUUCACGUAACUGAGUUGCAGUCUCUUGAACACAUCUAGCUCCAUCUUGGAGUCUUCUAAUUUUCCCAACAUGUCUCUCCAUUCAUGCACUUUCUCUACUCCUCUCAAGCGAGUUGCAAUCUCAAUGAUCGCAAGUGGCAGACCAUAGCACCUAUCAAGAAGAGAACUUGCAAUCUGUUCAACUUCCCAAGGGAGUUGUCCUACAAAGCAAAGCGUCUUUGAAAAUAACCACCCAGAAUCAUUCAUAUCGAGAAGUCCUAUCUUGAUUUGCUUUUGACAGAGCAUCAUACGACACACCUCUAGUGAUCGAGUUGUCACUACCAACUUUAGUUUGCCCGUUUCAACCGGAAUUCCCACCUCCUUAACUUCAAAAUGCAUCCAAAGCCCAUCUAAAAUUAGGAUGGAGCUAUUCUUCAUAUUCAGAUGUCCAUACAAUAGGCCUGCCCUUCUCCUCACGUCCUUCUCAUUCAAGAGAUUGUCUAGUCCGACCGCAUUGGCAAUCUCUUCUUGUAGCGCAUACACACUAAAAUCUUGCGGUACAGCAACCCAGAAUACAUCUGAAUCAAGAUCCUCAAGUAGUCUAUUAUAGACAUGGGUCAAAAUGGCCGUCUUGCCCACUCCACCCAUACCGUAAACACCAAUUCUGGAAAAGUUGUCCUGCUUUAAAUUGGAAAAAAUCUCAUUCACCUUCAAUUGAGUCUCUUUGCCUACCAAUUCUGUUGUCACCAAGGGAGACGUUUUGCUGCGUCUAACAAGUGUCGUCGCCUCUUGCCAAAAUCUUCCUGGAGCUAGAAGAACUUCUUUGAACAACUCUACCACCUCAGCUACUUUCUCCGGUGGAACAGAUCCUUCUCUGAUCGCCCGCACUACCCUCCAGUAUUCUUCUUCCAUCCACUUCGAAUUUAGCUUGCUCAUGUCCCCUUGGCCACUACUGAUGAGUUCUUCCAGCUUACUUUCGAGAAAUGUCAUAUUCCUUUGGCAAGCCUACGGGUACCUUGUUGACUCUCAGCUGAUGCAACCUGUGUUCUCGCACCUAAACUCAAGUAUAAAUGAAAAUUCACUCAUAGGUACUUCUUAGACAUAGUUAAUAGAUAUGCUACACUCACAGAAACAUAUAAUUCGUAGCAUUGUAUUCGCUUUUUCAACACAACAUCCCAUAUAAUAAUCACUAUGUUAUGUAGGCAUGCAUGUCACAAUAGUGAAAUAUUGGCGACCACAUAUCAUGAGCUCUCCAUUGGGGGCCAAAAAAAAAACUAUUUGAGAUUAAAAGUCAUAGGAAUUCGAAAAUGGAUACGUUGCUCCUGGCAUUUCCCUUAUAUCCCACGAAAGGGAAAACAGAUAAGUUUCGAUUGACUCGGUACCACAAGGAAGACCUUGGAAAAUUUCUUAUUUUGAAAAUAGGGGAAACAAUUUUCAAACUUUGCUCUUCAGAUUGAAAGCUAUAGUUUGCUUCCAUGUUAAAAACGAAUGCUCUGUGUAGGUGGUCUGAGGGGAUAGAGAGAGCCAUUGCUUCUCAAGAUUUGAAUGUCACACUUAGAAGCAUUGUUCUGUAUUUCAAAAAUCUAUAAAUUACCAGCGACCAACUCUUAAGCUCCUCUCUUCCUAUUAGUUCCAGUUUAUUUCGUGUAUUUCUAUGACCAGUGGAAAUCUGAGGCCCUGCCUAUAUCCCUAUUAAUAGGUGAAGGAGCUUUAACAAAAGGGGAAUUUGGAGAUGCACCUACCUUGCAGAACCUCUGCAUCGGGUGCUCCCUCUUCUGCACUCAGUGGGUGUGGCAUGUUAGUCAAAUCAGGACGAGACUAAUUUAAUGCUUUGUAUGAUAGCAACAGCAUAACCACUUAAAAACAUUUGUCUGCUCAUUUUCAAAUAUCUAGUGAUUAUCAAUGACUAGCUCUAAGACUCCUCUCUUCCUAUUAAUUCCUGACUAUUUUCUGUUUCUCUAUGACCAUAAGAAAUCCGAGCAUCCUCCUGCCUAUAUCCCUAUCCUCAGGUGAAGACUAGAAGACAAAUCAAGCGACCUGCACGAGCUUUAACUCAGGGCAAAUUAAGAGAUGCACACGUACCGUGUGGAACCUCCCGUAAUGGGCUCUCCCUCUUCUGCAUUCAGAGGGCGUGGCAUGUUGGUUAAAGCAGGAAGAGACCGACUGGGCAGAUCCAUCAAAGGCAAUGGAAGAGAGGCUGAUGAACCUGCAGCAUAGUUAUUAUACUUUGAAUUAAAGCUUUACUUACAUGAUAGCAAUACACAUAGACACCUCUCUCUCUCUCUCUCUCUCUCUCUCUCUCUCUCUCUCUCUAGUUAUUCAAUUUGGUUGAUUUCUUUCGACGUCAACCAAUUCUAAAAAUGGACGGUAAACAAUCUAGUUUGCACGCAUCAAGAAUGCCUCAACCAAUGGCUUCCAAAGCUAGUUAGAGUUGAAAUUUGCCAUGUGGUUCAGACAAAGGAUCUAGAACGCCUCUGACCAAGCACUUGACUGAUGCUAAUUAUGUAAACUUAUCGUCGACAAACUUUGCUCACCGGAAACAUUAACCAUCUCAGGUGAUAGAGAACGCCUUCCACAAAAAAGCUCCAGAAACAAAGACCAGACACGAUCAUUGCUUAUUUUCUGUUCCAUAUUGGCCGAUUAAACGAUUGAAGCGUUUUAAGUUUCUCAAAGAUAUAGAAGAUCUGGCAAUUUCAAGUAGAUUGCACGCUUAAAAUCCUACAAUAGAGCGUCACGAGUUGCCACAGAGUAUUCGGACAGGCCACUGCAUUGCAUAACGUGGGUAAAAGAUGAACGUACCAGGAGGAGGACUGGAGCUUCGGUCCAGUUGCUAAUCUCUGGUGUCGAUUUGGUUCUUCAGCCCCUGAUCACACCAAAAUAUUCAUGGCCGGGGUUCAACUCGAUCUCCCUCUUGAUCUCGAUAACAUUCCCAUGGAAAUUUGAAGCGGUGUGAUCCGGCGAGAGAUGAGAGAAGAAAAUAGGAAAGACGAGAGAUGAAUCCACCCAAAAGUAAAGAAAACCCUAGAAACCAAAGGCUAUGUUUGGUCGUUCGGAUUUAUAAUCGAAAUAAGAUUAGAUAAGAUAUGAUACGAAAUUCCGGAAUUUUAUAUCUUAUCAAUUGUUUUAUGAAUCACAGUAUUAAAAUCGGAUAUAUUCCAUCAUAUAUAUAUAAAUGGCAUAUCAUUAUAAAUAAACAUAAAUAUUCAUAAACAGAGAUUGUGAAAAUCUCAUGUAACACUAUUCCUUAAUUUAUUUUUAUUUUAUUUUUAUUUUGUUUUUCCUCUUUUUUAUAUUAUUUUUGUAUUAUUUCUUUUUUUCCCUUUCAUCAUUCUUUAAUAAAAUUUUAUCAAGUAGUAAAUUGUACUAACAUACCUAAAAUAAAAAAAUUUUAAAACCUAAAAUAUAUAAUAAAUAUAAAUAUUUAAUUUAUAGAUUGAAUGUUUAUUAUAAAAUAGAAUUAAAGUUGAAUAUAUAAAUUAAAAUAAGAUUAAUUAAAAAUAUAAAUAUUUUUAAUUUUUAAUUUCUUAAAUUAUAAUUCAUAUAUUAUUUAUAUUGAAACAUAAUUUCAAUUUUGUUAAUUUAAUAAUUUUGCUAUUCGAGAAAAAUAACUUUCCUAUUAUAGAUGUUAGAAAUCAUAUCCACAUUUAUCCUAUCUAUAAGAUAAUUUUAUCAUACCUAUAUUUUUUUUAUAUCCGACUUUAUCCUAUUCUGAGUAAGCACCAAGCGAAGGGUAAGAUAAAUCAUAUCCUAUUUCGAAUUUUAUCCCGACUGCCAAACGCAGCUAGAAUACCCUCGAUUGUGCCCCCUCUACGUUCGAUGCUCGGCAAAUCUGCACCGUUCGUUUUCAAACAAGCAAAGACCAUCGUUGGAUUACGUAAGGGGGAUAACAACUCGAAACCAGUUACAUUCUCGAUAAAUCAAUUUAUUUGCGUUUAAAAGUUCCCCCGGAAAUUAUUGAUUUGCCAUCUCCUUGCCGCCCCCCUCCCCCCAGCGGGGGAAAUUAUUAAUUUAUUCGCGAUGGGGAAAAGUUAAUUGGUAGGAUAAUAGGAUAUAUCCCAAAUUAACAUGUCCUAAGGCCACUCACUAAUUUCGGAUAGAUUUUUAAAUUCUUUUUUAUGUGGCGAGAUUAACUGUCCUAGAAAACUAUCUUUCUUAAUCCCUGAAGUUACCGGCAAUUAUUGCAAACUUACUUCUCAAUUUACGUAGGAGCUUAUUUUUUCUGCAUGAAAUGUUACUACUGAUGUAUUGAAAAAACUAACAAUUUCAUAAUUACUUAAUUUGGAUAUCGAAGUUUCGAUAUUUAUCAUAGGGAAGUAGCGUUACUGCGAUCCUCUCGAUGCGUAAAAAUGGCGAAUGUUCCUCCGAGGCGAGUUAAUGGUAUUUAGCUUACCUCGUCUAUUGUUAUUUGAAUUUAUUGAUUUAUAACUAAUUACCUUGUAGGCCGAACCAAAGCCGCUCGCCCCGAGCUUGUUUGUCUGAGAGAGAUGGUUGGUGGCAAUAGCAAUAGUGGCGAAAUCAUAUAAUGGCAAGUCAACGUCAUCUGUGCCACUUGGCAAGCCUACAAGGCAUGUAAACUAGUUUCUAACCAUACCAUAAUGUCAAAAAGAAAAGAUCAAUCCGGAAUUUGAUUACAUGAUGUAAAAGAAAGGUAUUUAGCUCACCUCGUCUUUUCAUUCUUCUCUUCCAGAUUAUGCCCAACACCAUGCCCACUAAAAGCAAUCCUGAAAUGGCUGAAGCCACUAUGAUAGUCACCAAUUUCUUGGAUGGACUGCGGAUUGAAUCUAGCAUAUUGGAAAAAGCGAAGUAACUAAUUUCAGAGAAUUCAUCUGUAAGCUGAAGAAUCUUUCUCCGUUAGAGGACCUUGAACAUGAGAAAUAAAUAGCAAGGAACAAAACGGUAGUUUAGUCCGGCAUUAAUAGAGGACAUAUCGAUGAAAUGAAAGAUUAGAACAAAGAAGAAAAAAUAAAUUGCUGGAUCAAUUAGCUGAUGCAGACACGAUAUCUGUAUUUACCUAAUUCAGAAGCAGGGAGCCUAGGAAGAGAUAUUGCCCAUUGACACCCAUGUCAAUUUCCUUAAUAUCAAUGAGAUCACCAAACCACAUCAAGCAGCCCGCUCCUCUAAGAUCGGAAUUAGCAUAACCCGUGCAAGAACAAUUCUUUAGACACUCAAUCUUACACUCCUCAUGGCUUAAGUUCUUGAACAGCUGGAAAUCUACCAGGUCAGGUAAUUUCACCUGCGAAAGCUUCAUAAAAUCCCUACGGGAACAAUUCAACGGAAUUCUCCUUCUGCACCCAUAUGUUGAAUUAGGCACGUCCCUCUCUUCUUGUGACUUGGGCGUAAAACCCUGCAAGCAGAGGCAUCUUGGGCUUUGGUUAAUUCUGCACACGCCAUUUUUGCCACACUGUCCAUAGGUGUCACACGGGUCAUGAGGGAGCGAGUACAUCAGAUACCACUCCGUGCUUCCACUCUUCAAUAGAUGACACUGCGUAAAACCAUCCGGGCUUAAUAUGACUUUGGCAGUGCUAUCAUCCUUUAAGGUUUCAAACGCAAAACAGGCAUCCGUUGUGUUGUAAACAAAGAUGGGGUUAAUAAUGGUAUUCCCCUCCAUGAAAAGACCGCCAAAUUCAACUCCAUCCCAUGGCCCAGCUCGAUAUACUUUGACAGAAUCCUUUCUGACUAUUUCAAGUUGGGGUAACCUGUCAAUUUUGUAUCUGUAUGUAUAGUCUCCAGGGGAAGGAUCGUCCGUGCUUCUCCAGGAAGUCAGAUGAUGUUCCAAACCAGUUCUAACGUUCCAUCCUGCGGUCAUACCGACCAAAAGCGUGUUUGAUGGGUGGUCAAAUCUCUGCCACGAAUAAUCAACAGAGCCUAAAUUGUUGCUUUCCCUAAGCAUGAGGUUACCGCAAUCAAGGAGCUGUGCAACUGGAUUACCGAGAACCUUGGUUGAAUUCGUUGACCAAAUGACACUCUUUGAUUGGUUGAGAAGAACAAGUUCACCUGCAUUGCUCAUUUCGAGAGUGCCAUUUGAAUCAAUGAGUGGAUUGUUCCUGUUAGUAACCCAAACGACCGUUUCAGGACUCACCACAAACCAUAUCCCCGGGAAGCUAUUCUUUGAACUUCCAGCAGAGAAGAAACCGAGCUUAAAUUUUCGGCCCUGGGAAACUAAUGUCUCUCCCUCUUUAAUUGCACUGAACUCAGGGUAUCACCUGCGCUUGAUAGAUGCAACAAUGACAGAACGACGAUGGAAGUACAAAAGGAGCUGAAGAUAGGAGGAUCUGCCAUUGCAAACCCUUCUGUUUGAUCUACGAGAUGAAGCAAAUAACUGGAUAAAGAUUCGAACAUUUCAGAAUAGCAUAUCAGGAUAAGAUAUAGAAUACAGAUACCUUUGUCUGGGGCAGAGAUAGUUCUAGGACUUACUGGUUAGAUUGAGUUGGGCCACGCAAGAAGACCAGCCUCUCAAAUAUUCGUGGAUCAGUCUCCAAUCUUCCUGUAAUUGUCAAGGAUCAAAUUUAGAUGAUUCGAAUCGGUGAAAAGGUGAGUUUUAUUAGCAUGCCACUUCACGUUUUCUGUUUUGCAGCCAUUGUCACCAUCCUUGUUGCACCAGUCCAAGCUCGCGUUCGACCAAAUGAAGUGGAAAGUUGUUACACAGUCCCACCAGGUGGAGAUACACCUCGGGUAGCCUCCAUCCCGUGAAGGUUCCUAAUCUCAAGCCCUUUACGACUUUGACUCGAUCCGUUUGGUCUUCUUCUCUGCGUGGCAUGUUAAUUGACCAAAUUUUUCGCCCUCACAUCUCUUCAAAUUUCUCUAAGUGUUGAUUUCGAGAAGUAUUCAAUAGAGUCCUACUCAGAUAAUGCUAAUACAAAUGGAUUUGAUGUGUUGUAUCUUUGGAGGUAUAAUUCAUAAAGUUGCUUAUCACCGGUGGCAGGAAAUAAUCGUCUUAAGGAGACUUCAUCUUCAAUUAUUAUUUCUUUUUUUAUCACUUCUCGAAUUCGUAAAUUUUUUUGUUACAACAAACAGAGUUACAUAUUUUUCCCCCGGUUCAUUAUUUCUUCUUCUUCUCUAUAUCUUCCAACACUUAAUUCUUGCUACUUCUCCUUCUCCAAGUUCUCCAAGUUCUCCAUGUUCCACUUUAUUCACUUGGUUUAUGGCAGCAACUUUGCAUUAUUUGGACAUUAAAAGGUAAAGACCCCUACUCACGGACCACUUUUCACUUUGGCCGCGUUCACGUGUCAUUCUUUCCAGCUAAAUCAUAAGUUAAUCCAACGUCAGAUGGAAGUCAGACACUUUGUUAUGAACAUGACACGUUUGUCUCUAUAGAAAACAUCAUUCCUGGUCAAGGAUGACUCGGGGUCAGCCAUGAACGACAUGAGAAGUUACCAUUAGCGUAAGGUUUGGGUGAACUUUCUCGGGGGUCGUUUUAACCCACCAAACGGGUUUGACGGUUUGGCAAAAAGCAUUAAGAGCAGCAGCCGCCAUUAUUGGGUGCCGCGACACAGCAUAUAAAGGGGUAAGAAGGGGAAAAAACACGGAAAAUGAUUUAUAAGAUUUUUUUUUUUAUUAUGUUUUAACCAUAUGUUUUAACCGUUCAUCUGAAAUAUAAUUGUUAGUGAAGGACCAUAGACCCACUUCUAUAGUUCCAUCCACUAUGAAUUCCACAGAACAAUGCUUGAGUUGGCCCGGAGCUAUCAGGGUAGAAGCAAAGGCCCUUUCUUUCACCUUUAGAUCUACAAUCAUUGUCCAAAACGGGAAACAAAUUUUGUGGGAUGCCCACUUUAGGAUUUUCAUAUGAUUACUUGAACUAUUCUUGUUAUUUUAAUGUUGUACUUCGAUUGCAUAUUACCAGUGUUUUAGGAAAAGGUCCAUGCAAACAAUCUUGGAACAUUUUUGUUGACGUUUCAAUUUGACCUUGUACAUGCACACAUAUAGCACACGAGUAUGGACCGGAAAUGCUAAAAAAGACGUGCGCAUGCAAUGCGUAUGUGGCGUCAAUUAAUAUCUUCUUCAUGUUACUUCUUUUUUUUUAAAUUACCAUUUUGGGGUGAAAUUACUUUGUUUUGCUCCAUCCGUUGGUUACUGCAAUUCGGGUAUAUUAUUUUUUGCAAUCAGAUUUUGAAAUAUAGUAACUUGGAAUAAACUAUCACGGAUCUAAGGUGUCCAAUCCUAGUCACAAGGUCCGAAAGACAUUUUGGACUGGUUUGAGUAAGAGCACUGGGUGAAAUAGCCUAACAAAGACCGAUCAAGCCCUAGUCCAAACCUAGCCCGGUCUGACCGGAAGAUUUGCAUAUAAAAGUUUUAUGAUGGAUAGGCUGGGCAAAAAUUCAAGACAAACCUUAAUACCCAUCCCAGCUUAGGCCCAACAAUGAUAACCUCUAACUUGAAAAUGAAAUUAGCGUUGUUUGAAAGGUUUAUCGAUUUAUAUAUAAUCGACAAUCAUCAAGAAAAUAAUUUUAUGUAAAGUAAAUUUAUUUGACUUUUCUUAGCUUCCACUUUUAAGUGGCUCUUCCCGUGUUUGAUAUGGAAAUCAUGCUUUUAAGAGAAAUGAUGACACUUAUUUACCAGUUCGAGUAACUUCACCGGCAAAAAUUUCGUAAAAACUCUAUUAUAUUAAGAAAGUCCAGCUCUUCUUGUGGCUUAGCCAUAAAACCCUACAAGCAGAGGCCCACACCGCAAGGACCUUGCUAAACCAAAUAUGUAUACAAAAUCUCACGGAAAACCUAGUAAUCUACCGCAAUAUCGAAGUAUCAACCCUUAUGGCAUAAAAUGUCUACCGGCCCUCUAGCAUAGUUAGAGUGACUACAUUUUGCGUAUGUGAGCCUCUAUUUGAUGAAGACCCAUCAGAAUACUUUAAGUUUCUUUCCAUGAAGAAACCGGGCUCUUUAGGAUCAAGCAGGACCGAAGCACAAUUACGUAUCAUACAUAUUGCGGAUGACAUAGUCGGCCUAUCUUCAGGGAACUUUUGGACACACAACAAACCCACUUGAAUGCAUCUUUCCACUUGGAUUCUGUCAAAUGAGCUGUGCAAGCAUUCCUGCGUCAUCUCCAAGGCCCUACCUUGACUCCAAAGCAACCACGCCUGAAGAAAAAUUGGGAACUCGUGUGCUUGGUCAUUGAGAAUUCACCAUGAAUGACCGUGUAAAAGAUUAGAGAGAGAUGGAAUGCAAGUGUUAGCAGUGCCCAUUUACUUACAUGUCCGAGAAGGUUGUGGUGAUGGCUUGGAUGGGAAAAUCCUCUAUUCCUUUUGCCACCUAUUAUCUCCAACAGGAGCACUCCAAAGCUAUAUAUGUCUGACUUCAAAGAGAAUUGCCCAUCUAUAGCAUACUCAGGGGCCAUGUAACCACUGCAUUUCGCAUAAACAAGAAUUUCAGGCUGUGGUCCCCUCAUAAUAAUGAGUGCUUCGUGUCAAGAACCAAAAGAAAUGACUUACUAAGUUCCAAUAACUCUUUUUGUUCUCGCUUUUGUUUCAUUAGCUCCAAAGAUUCUUGCCAAGCCAAAGUCGGAUAUUUUAGGGUUGAGGUCACCAUCUAGUAAUAUGUUGCUUACUUUAAGAUCUCGGUGGAUUACUUGAAGUUUGGAAUCAUGAUGGAGAUAGAGAAGUCCUCUUGCAAUACCGACAACAAUGUCAAACCGUCUUUGCCAUCUCAACAACAGGCUCUUUUCUUGAUCUGUGAACAAUUCAAAAAUCGCAUGGUAAACCACCACAAAUAACUGAUGAAAAGUGCUAAAUUAGAUCAAUAUCACUAUAAAAGAGUUUCAUUCAAUCGAUGGGGAAUUAAAAAGCGAAAUUGUCUGACCAAAUAUGAAGUAAUCCAAGCUCUUGUUGGCCAUGUACUCGUAAAGCAAGAUUCUCUCCUCUCCCUCGAUGCAACAUCCUAGAAGUCCGACAAGAUUCCGGUGUUGGAGUCGCGCAAUCAAGAGUACUUCAUUUUUGAACUCUUCAAGACCUUGCCGCGAACUCUUUGAUAGCCUCUUGACUGUACUAACUGUCCUUUCUGAAGAUUUCCCUACAAAAAGGCAGCAUCUUUGUUUUAUGCAUCACUGGUUCCUAUUCUAUUAGUAUUAGAUUAGUAUUAGUUAGUAAUCCCAGCUCAAUAAGGUGUGGAAUGAUAUACAUAAAACUUUGUACCUUAUAAACAACACCGAAGCCACCAGCCCCAAUCAUAUUGUCAUCAGAGAAAUUGUCUGUGGCACUUUCAAUGGUGGCCAAAUCAUAUAAUGGUAAAUCAAUGUCUUCAUUUGUGAUUACAAGACCUAGUAAAAUAGUAUGCAUUGAUUUGCAUUAGCAUAGGAUUACGAUAACUAAAUAGAGCGCCUAUCAAACCAAUUGAAGCAAUGCUACUUUGAGUUCAUGGCGAAAUCUUCCCUGAUCGAAGACCAGGCUUACCUCCAUUCCCGAUUCUCCUUUUCCUAUGCUUUACACCCCAUAAUUUAGUUCCGACCGAAAGCAAUCCACCAAUGAUUGAGCUCAAUAUGACAGCUACUAAUAUUAUUUUCCUCCUGGUGCGGCCACGAAUGGCAUCUAAAGUAAAAAAAGAAUUAGGAAGAUUAGCUAUUUCCGAACCUCUCGUGCCCAAAGAACAAAGUAUUUCAAUAAUUUAGCAGGAAAAAAAAGUCAAUUAGAAUAAGUAUGAAUACCUAGUUCAGAAGCUGAUAGGCGUACAUAUAGAGUUUGCACGUAGUUCCCUUUUUCGAGCACUCUCAUGUCGAUCAAGUCCCCAAACCACAUCAGACAGCCACUGCCUCCUCCUCUGAUGUCUGAAUUAGAAUAAUCUGUGCACAAACAGUUCUUCAAGCACUUGUCCUUGCAUUCCUUGAGGUUCAUACUCCUGUUCAGCGUUACCUCCAACACGUCGGGCAGUUUAACUUUUUUAAUUUUCCAAAACCCCUCUCCUUUUGAGCAAUUUGUGGGUACUGUCCUCUUGCAUCCACUGGAAUAAUCACGGACUGCCCAUUCAUCAGGAGACUUAGGCAUGAACCCUUUCACACAUUCACACGAGCUACCGCUGCAGAUGGCAUUAGCACCGCACCUGCCGUAAGAAUCACAGAGAUCACCAGGGAACUCGAGCAUGGCAUUCCACGUGGCUCUUCUUGAUCUAUUCACCACAAAAACCUGCAGCACUCCCAAAUAGUUUAAUUUCAUUCUCGAGAAAAGUUGACUGUUUUGAACCUCAAACAUGAAGGAGAUCUCAGUUUCAUUGUCCAUAAAUAUGGGCACUUUAGCUGGAUUUGGGAUAGAGGGAACGCCGACAAAUUGGACUCCGUUCCAUUGCCCUGUUCGAAAUGUUUUUCUAUGCACAUCCACUUGGACUAUUUCAUACUGAGGUAGACCCUGAUUGUAGCUUAACCCAUGGACAUAAUCUCCCGAAGAAGGGCCGUCCAUGCUUUUCCAUGCAGUGAGAUGCCGUUCGAAACCCGUUUUCAGGUUCAACACCAGCUUCAUGCCCGCUAAAAGUGUGUCAGAUGGGUAAUCGAAGCUUUGCCACGAAUAAGCUUCAUCAAAACUUGAAAUAGAAUUAUCCCGAAGAACAAGAUUUCCUGAAUCCAGGAGCCGCACAAUUGGAUUCCAAAGGACCCUAGACGAAUUCGAAGACCAGACCACACUAUUUGAGUGGUUGAGAACAACUAGAUUGCCCACAUUGCUAAAUGUGAGAACACCGUUAUGAUUGGCUAAUGGGUUGUUUCUGUUAGCAACCCACACAACUGUUUCAGGACUAAACAUGUACCAUAUUCCCAAGUAGCUCAUACUUGAGUUGCUAGGAGUAAAGAAUCCUAGUUCGAAGGUUAGGUCCAAAGAAACCAAUGUUUCUCCAUGACUAAUGGAAUGGUUAAUGCCCAAAGUAUCGGCUGCGAGUGACAUACCAAUCAAGGGGAUGAUGAUGAACAUGGAGAAUGCAAUCUUUGCCAUUGUUGCAAAUGCCCUCUUCUAAGUUCUUACUCCAUUUUUAUAUGCAGAUCAUUCCAAAUUAAUUCACAACGCCAACACAAUUCGAGCGGGUCCUCGAAGCCUACACCUUUUUGUGGGUUUCCGCUUUAAGACCUAUUGGUUCCUUGCACUAGUCUGCGCGCAUAUUCCCUCGGUUCUCUGUUCUUAACUCUGACUAGUAUUUUUCACUCUCCAAGUUCUCCCAUGUUCCACGUAACCACUUUUUUAUAGCGGCUUUUUUAGAUUCCAGACGGAUAUUCAAAGCCGUAACUCAUACUCACGCACCAGUUUUCACUACGGCCAUGUUCAUACGUCGUACUUUUCCAGCUAUAUCAUUCAACAUCAGAUGAAACUCAGACAUUUUGACGAGAAAAAUCAUCAAUUCCUGGUCAAGGAUAAUCUCAGGGUCGACCAUCCCGUUUGGACUUCAUGCAAUGACACGCCAAGUUUACACUUGAGCGGCGUUUGGGUUAACUUUCCUCGCGGGUCAUUUUAACCUUCAAAUGGGUCGGAUCUUGAUAUGGCAACGAGAAUCAAAUGGCAGCAGCUACCAUUUGCGGAGGCUGUGACGUGAAAAAGGACUUACGAAGAUUGAGAUAGGAGAUUAUAUAUUAGGCUUCUUGCGCAUAUCACUCGUCCAAUGAUAAGUAUAUAAAGUGCUAACAAAACAAAACAAAACAAAAAAACAAAAAAAAAGGAAAAUCGUUUUAAGAUUUUAUUUGUGCCACAGAAAAUAUUUUCCUAUCAGGACUAUGGAGUCCGCUUUCACUUGGGGAUAUCAUCAAGAAAGAGCCUAACUUCACACAUGUUAACAUAUCUAGUUAUUCAUACAUUCACUUAAAAACUUAAGUUAAUGACUUAUGAGUCAACAAAAAUAUAAUAAUUACUUUCUACUACACCAAUUCUCCAAUAUAAGAUUUCUCUAACACAACUCACACAUAUAUCCUAACAAUAUCCCCAUCACAUAUGAGCUCAACCCUUAAUCCAAGUAUCAUUCACAUCAAGAUAUCUCAACUUAAAUAGAUUGGGGUUCCUUCAAUCUACCAUUGGCUUUGAUACUAUUAUUAGGAGAGGGCGGCAAAAAUCUAAUACCAUUCGCUUGGGAAGAUCGCCAAGAAGAAAUCCAAGUCCGAACAUGUUAACAUAUUUAAUUGGACACACCAUCACUCAAAAGCUUUAACUAAUGAAUUCUAGACUAACUAUGACAUAUUAACUACUAUGCACUACACCAAUCUCCCACAUGAGAUUUCUUUAACACAAUUCACGUAUGCACCCUAACAUUUUCGGGACAACAUUUUUCUCAUUUUUGGGCGUUUGAUUCGCUUAAGAAAAUGAGUCAACGGAACUUAUUCUUAAAUUCAAGAAAAUAAUUUCCUUUUUAAAAUAUUGAAAAAUUAUUUUCCAAAAUAUGACUAGGUAUUUGUGUUUAGAUCCAAAACUCUAUGCUUUGGCAUGGAAACUCCAAUGCUGAUUCUUGGUUCACCAACAUCCAAGGUCAGGUCUCCAAUGCCCAAGCUCGGGACCUUCAUGCCCGUGCCCAAAUCCCCUAUGCUUGCAUUUGUGUCCAUCAAGGUUCAGCCAGAGAUCCUGGCACCAAUGCCUGGAUCCAUCGAGACUAGGCUCAAAACUCGAAUGCCUAGGCCCAAUACCCGACACCUAGGCCCAGGUCCAUAGUGGCCAAGGACAAGAUACCAAUACCUGAGGUAGAAUUCCCAACACCUAACCUUGGGUCCACAAAGGCUGUCCUAGGGACCAUCAAGGCCAAAUUUGGGAUCCCAAUGCCCGCGCUUAGGUUUAUCAAGGCUGCGCCCGAGACCCAGAUGUCUGCAUCAAGGUCCAUUAAGGCCAAACGUGGGACUGUAGUGCCCGCAUUUGGUUCAUCAACUACCCAAGCACAAGCUGUUAGUGUUGAAAUAGUAUACGGUUAUUUAGGAAAAUUAAAUGCAAUUUUCAUUCUAAACAGUGGAGAAUAUUUUCCUAUUCAUUUUUCAAGAUUUACCCGAACACCGCAAAAUAUUGUCAUUUUCUAGAAAAAUGACUUCAUGAAAAAUAUUUUCCAAAAAUGUCACAUUUUUCACAAAAUAAACGAAACCUAAUAUUAUAAUUUUUUUAUAUUCAAUCUGCAUAAACGAGAAAACUUUGAUAUUCAUUUCGAAGGGAUCUAUCAUUUAAUAAUUAUAGUUUUAGACAUAAAUAUAGGCAAUUAUAAUAAAGACUGACUAACCAUCCAAAUCAAUAAUCAUGAACGUUCAUACAUUGGAUUUUAUACCAACCACACAAAUCAAGAAGUCUUGGACAAUGAUGAAAUAAAUUAUCAAUGGCAUUUCUUGGAUCUAUAAGCAAUUACUCAGAAAAACGUACUAUCGACCAUCCAACCUCGUCACCGUGACUACAUUGACAGAAUGAAGUUCUUCAUGCAUCCGGGUUGUGCUUAAGUCCAUUGAACUUCUUUCCAUAAAGAAACCAGGAUGUUUAGGUGGAGGCAAGCUUGCACUUUCAUUUCCUAACAUGGCAACUGCAGAGGACAUCGCUGGUCUAUCAUUGGGGAACUUCUGCACGCAUAACAAGCCGACAUGGAUACAUCUUUUUACUUGAGGUUCAACCGAAUCACACAAGCACUCAUCAGCGAGUUCCAUGGCUCUGUCUUCACUCCAAAGCAACCAUGCCUGAAAAAAAUCACAUCCCGAGCUUAGUCAUGCAAGACCAAAAACAGGAGAUAAGGGAGAGAGAAUGACAUACGCUCUGGCUCUUUCUCUUACAUGUCCAAGAAGGUUAUGAUGAUGAUUUGGGUGGCAGAAUCCUCUGUUUCUUUUGCCACUUACAAUCUCUAACAACAUCACACCAAAGCUAAAGACAUCAGAUUUCACAGAGAAUUUUCCAUCGAAGGCGUACUCAGGGGACAUAUAGCCACUGUAAUGACAAAGUGAUUGUUAUUAGUCUUCUAACAUAGCAAGCAGUCCUAUUUAGAAAUGUUCUGAAAAGGCGAGUUCUUACUAAGUUCCUAUGAUUCUCUCUGUCUUUGCUUCUUUCUCAUCACGUGCGAAAAUUCUUGCUAACCCAAAGUCUGAGAUUCUUGGGCUUAAGCUGCCAUCCAACAAUAUGUUGCUAGCUUUGAGAUCCCGGUGAAUUACUUGAAGUUUAGAAUCAUGGUGGAGAUAGAGAAGACCUCUUGCAAUCCCAACGAUAAUGUCAAAUCUUUUUUCCCAGUCUAACAAUAAGCAUCUUUCACGAUCUGCAUAUGUGACGUCGGUUUAGUCAACCAGAUGGGAUUAAGUUCAGUGCACAGAUAGCAUCAUCGUCCACCAGUAACAUCUUUCAUUAAAGGGUUUAGAGACCUCACCAAAGAUAAAACAAUCCAAGCUCUUGUUUUGCAUGUACUCAUAGACCAAAAUCCUUUCCUCCCUCUCCAUGCAACAACCUAGAAGCCCCACAAGAUUCCGGUGUUGAAGUUUGGCUAUCAGAAUCGUUUCGUUUUUGAACUCUUCAAGACCUUGUCCUGAGUUUCUUGACAGUCUCUUCACUGCUACUUCUUGUCCUGUGAAAAGAUUGCCCUGCAUAUUGCGGUUAGAGUAGAUAUGUUAAACAAUGAAAUACGAUCACUCUGUUUGCAGUUAACUUCGUCUUGGAAUAUGCAUUGCUCAUUACCUUGUAAACUGGGCCAAAGCCACCAGCUCCAAUCAGACUGCCCUCAGAGAAACCAUCCGUAGCCUUAACAAUGGUAGCCAGAUCAAACAGUGGCAAAUCAACAUCUUCCUCCUUGACUUUCCAAUCUGAAAAAGACCAGUUAAUACAAAGGUCCUUGUCAAAACAUUUGUUAAUCUCACAAAAGGGCCUAAAAGUCUCUUUGUAGGUGUACAUUUAUAGAACCAGUUGCACUGACCUUUGCUCUUUAUUCGGCAAUUCCUGAUACAAUGGAAGUACACCACGGCUGAUAGAAACAAAGCAGCAAUAGCUGACACCAAUACGAGGAUGACCACCCUUUUCUUCUUGUCAGAAUUAUGAAGGAAAUCUGGGAUAGAGAAGACUGAAAAGAUUAAAUGCAAUCUUCUAUGGUGCUGUUCCUGAGUAAGCUGGUUAAAAUUUAGAAUGAUUAGAGAAAAAAGCAAUGAUUGGCAAAAUAAGUACCCAGUUCAGAUUUUGGUAGGCGGAUGUAUAGAGUUUGCCCAAGGUUAUCUUCUUCAAACUCCUUAAUGUCAAUUAGGCUUCCAAACCACAGGAUACAGCCACUACCUCCUCCUCUAACAUCUGAAUUAGCAUAAGCAGUGCAUAGACAGCUCUUUAAGCACUCCACCUGGCAUUCCUCGAGGCCCAUGCUCUUGUUCAACCAGAAAUUCAACAUGUCAGGAAGUUUAACUUUUGCAAGUUUGAGGAAGCCUUCUUCCUUCGAACAAUUUAUUGGUAUUCUUCUCGUGCAUCCACCUGACCAAUUGAGGAGAUCCCAUUCUUCCGGGGACUUUCAUACAAACCCCUUCAAGCAAUCGCAUAUUGGAUCUCUGUUAAUUCUACAGAUACUGUUGGCUCCACAAGUACCAUAAGUAUCACAUUUAUCGUUGGGUGCCGAGUACAUGUUAUUCCAGGCAUUGCUUCUUUUACUGGCAACAUAGAGCUGGACUGACCCGGAAUGGUUUACAAGUACUCUUACGAUAAAUUCACUUUUUCUGGCUACAUAUACAGAAUAUAUUUCAUUUUCACCAUAGAAGAACACUCCCCUGCCCAAUGGAGUGUGUGCGAUUGAAGAACCACAGAAUUGUAGUCCAUUCCACUGUCCUGUCCGAUAUUUCGUGCCAGAUCCUAAGCUGACGAGUUCAAAUUGAGGCAACCCAUGAAUGUUCAACCUGAAACUAUAGUCUCCAGAGGAAGGAUCAUCCAUGCUUUUCCAAGAUGUCAGACGCCUUUCUAAACCGAUUUUCAAGUCCCACCCUAAUUUCAUACUGGGUAGAUAAGUGUCGGACGGAUGAUCAAAACUUUGCCAUGAAUAGUUAUCAGAAUUUAAAUUAGUAUGCUCUCUAACAACAAGAUUCCCAGUGUCUAAGAGCUGGGCAACCGGGUUUUUCAGAACCCUGGACAAAUUCGAAGACCAGAUGACCCUCUUCAAUUGAUUGACAAGAACUAGAUCUCCCUCAUGGCUAAAUGUGAGAACUCCGUGUGAAUCAGUGAGUGGAUCGUCCCUGUUGGCAACCCAAACAACAGUUUCUGGAGUGAUCUGGUACCAUAUGCCAAAGUACCUGUUCGUAGAGUUGCCAGGAGAGAAGAAGCCAAGCUCAAAGCUUUGGCCUGAAGAGAUCAAUUUCUCUCCAUCUUUAAUGGACUGACCUGAACUUAAGGUAUCAGACGCCAUCGACAAAUUCAGCACUAACAUGGUAAAAGCAGAGUAAAAGAAGGGGGAAUAAGGAAGCUUUAAGAAUGCCAUAAGGAUUUUGUUUAUUCUUUCCUGGCUCCUCCCUCUCAAUGGCCAGUUUUAAACUCAAAGCUUCUCACCAAUGAUAUCUAGCUGAAGCCUACCUGAGGAUAUUCUUUACUUUUAUUGCAUAGUCCAUCACUAGCCAUUUCCAGUGGGAUAAGAUAUCAAACGGUCAUGGAAUGGAAGCGACCAAGUCAAGCUGUCAAGUGUUGUUGAUUAGGAGACUUGCGAUGUCUAUUUAUGCCAUGCAAGAUAGACAUCGCAAGAAAGUCAUACCCCUCUCCCCACGGCUCUAUUACAGCUACCCCUCUCCCGAGAAAAUACCCCUCUACCCACGGCUCUAUUACAGCCUACAGGACAAAGGAAGUCAUACCCCUCUCCCCACGGCUCUAUUACAGCCUACAGGACAAAGAAAGUCAUACCCCUCUCCCCAUGGCUCUAUUACAGUCUACAGGACAAAGACAGGUAAUAACUACCAAUCUUUCUCCAAGCAGGACAAACGAUGGAGUUGUUGCCCAACACUAUUUUUCAGCCCAAAAUUAUUUGGGCUGUGCUAAUUUAAGGAAGAGGUGACAACCUAUGAAGCACUGACACUUUUCGAGAGUUUUCAUAUCGUAUCGGCCACUCUGACACGUAUCCGAUACUUUCCAACACUCGAUCAACACAUGUCAAAAAAUCCGACACUUGAUCAAUUUUUCCGACACUUUGUGACACUCAAGUUGGAAUUCCGACAUGCGAGUUUCCGACAAGUGAUUCCAACAAGCGAGGUCAAUUAAUAAAUGAUGGGUCAAAAUGUACAUAUGUGAAAAAAAAAUGAAGAAAGAAAAAAAAUCUAAUAUUCUUUUCUUUUUUGAUCCUCACUUCCUGUGAUAUAUAAUUCUUUUUUUUUAGUCGAACUGUGAUAUACAAUUCAUCCCCAAGUUUUUUUUUCUCUUCUCUUUUCACAUGUCUAACACACGAGUCCAAAAUGUGAAUUGCUUAUUUUUUUCUUCAAAUUUUAUUGAUUAUUAGGAUGGAGUUGAAUUAGUCAAAUUGAAACAAUGAUUGGAUAUUAAUAAAUUGUGAAUUAAUGUUUUUAGUGUAAAUUUCAUUCUAUGCUUUUAUUAUUUAUUUAUUUAUUUAUUUGUGAAUUUGAAUCAAAUUAAUUUGAUUGAAAUAAUCAUAAAUUUGAUAAUUUAUUAUGUAUAUAUACUUAAUAUACAAUGUGUCAUAACAUGUCGAAAUUCUUUAUUUUUUUAGAAACAAUGUGUUAGCGUGUUGUGUUGUAUGUGGCGUAUUAGUGUCAGUGCUACUUAAGUGACAACGCAAGUUUGACAACUUAUGAGCAGUUAACGCUCUCCCUCUUCAUACGAUGAUGGCAUUGAGGAUGCUAAAUCUAAGCGCAUAAUACUGAAAGGCAAAAUCAUAACUACAAAUGAAGAUGCCGUCAUGUGCUCAUUAGUGAUGAUGAUGUGUAAUUUGGUAAUCAGCCGCUGAUCCUUUCCAUUGGAUGCAAUCAUAGAUCUAUUCUUGCAGGAUUGGAGUUUUACGGACUUGCCUUGUAAUGUUGACUUUAGAGAUUUUUAUGAAUCCUUUCAUGUAUCAUUUUGAUAAUAAAUGAAAAUUUUGUUGACCAACAAAAAAAAAAAAAAAAGGAAACCAGUGAGCCAUUUUGUGAUAGAAUUGAUCCCAUAGAUAUAAAGCAAUCUCAAAUUGUAAGCACAACCAAAGACUUGCUUGUCAUUUUGUUGUGGUUUCCGGAUGACCUAUGAUCGCAGACAUUUACACUGUUAUAUACAGCCGUUUCAGCUAAUUUACGUAACAUGGAAACAGAGGUAAUGGGCAAUUUACACAGGAAGAAAAAGAAGAAAUCAUUUAACUGAUCAUUCCUCUGUGGUUAAAUGGUGCAUUCCCAUGUUAUGCAAUUCAUUAUCUACUAAAGCUUGCAUAAAUCAAGAAUCAAACAAAAGUAGCCUUAGCAUGUCUCAGAUAUGUUUGUAAUUCCUUGUAAAAACCCACUCGACCUUCCAGUAUUGUCAUCAAGACUGCAUUAAUUGUAUGGACCAUGGAUUCUUCAUGUACACCAUGGCCACACUUGCACCUUCUUGAACUACUAGGCUGUUUAGGUUUAGGCAAGAUUGCACCUUCAUCUGGUUUCUUAACUGGGGAUCUACAGAGGAAAUUGCAGGUGUAUCAUCGGGGAACUUGUAGAUGUGUACAGAACUUCCUGAAUACACCUUUUCUACUUGAGAUUCGACGAAUAAAUCAUACAAAUGCCCGUAGUGCAUGAGUUAGACGCCUUUGUCAUCCAAAGCGCCUGUGCCUGAGAAAAAAAUGCAAAUUUGUAUUACUAUGCAAAAUGAGGGCAGAAAUCUUAAUCCUGCUCUCUCUUGCAUGUCAAAGAAAGUUGCCGUGGUGACUCAAAUGGUUGAAUCCUCUAUAUUUUUUGCCACUUACAGUCUCUAACAAAAGCUCUCCAAGGCUAAAUAUAUUAGAUCUCACAGAAAACAUUCCAUAGAAUUCACACUCUGGGAACAUAUAGCUGCGAUAUUGAUGAUGAUCACUUUUAGUUUUAGUCACCUUAUGUAAUGUUGAGAUUUCUAUUCAUACGUCACUUAUGAUAUGUAUCCCAAUCUUUUUAUGAACAAAAAUUCUUGAAAUCUGUAGUCUUAACUAUUAUACAGUUGGGAAAUCAAAGCGAACAGUCCUUGCUUAUAUACUAGAUUCAAUUCGUAAGUACUAAAUACCUUUUCGACAUCAUUCUCAAUCAUUCCUCAACUGACUGAGCAUUUAAUUGACUCAGCGUAUUCUCUCUAUCUACAUAAAUGUUACAGUUAUUGCAUCUCUCGUAUCAAUUUUGCCCUGUUCCUUUUGCACCAUUAUGCAACUUACUGAAGAUGGAGAAGCCAGGCUGUGAAGAUUGGAGUAGGGACAAAGGACACAUCUGGAAAAUCCAAUGAGGACAAUGUGUAGACUCAUAGUGCCUUAAAAAAUAGGGAGUUUUAUUUGUCCAGGUUUUCCUUUUUCGUGUUUCUCAAGUAGCAAGCACCAAAAUACCGUAACGCUUCUCCCUUCUUGGGCGACUGAACACUGUUCCUUCUGCAAUUCGAGCUACUGUUUCCAGGCGUUUUGGCCGUUCGUUUGGGCCGCUUUUUUGGGGGAAAGGCGCGCCUCUUGCCUCUCCUUCAACCCCUUGGCAUCGUCUCCUGGUACGUCUCCUCUCCUUGCUUCGCAUGGCUUCCUAUGGCUAGGGUUCCACCCGCCUGCUUGCUGCUGUGAGUCAUUAGUAGAGAUGGAAUCGGAGUCGAUGAGGGCUCGAAAUGAGGAGAAAGGGACGAGUUCCCAUGGUGGGCCUCCCAUUCUGACUGAGGAACCUUCGUUGGUGUCUGUGAUGAGAGGGAAAUCGAGUUCGGACACCAUUGCUGGUCCAAACGAAGCGCGAGGUCCUCGCGUAAUGGUGGCACGCGACCUGUCCAGCGAGGAAGGUCUCGCUCAGUCAAGCCUCAGGCAUGGACACCUCUAAGAAUCCAUCAGGAAAAUCGUGGGUUGCGGUGGCAAGAACCGUGGCCAAGGGUUACGAUCUGGUGUAUACCCCACCGAAUAUGGUUAAAAAUAGACCUGUGAUUGAGAUCACUGAUCAAGAUCUGGAAGCUGCAGAUCCCAAGAUGUUUGAAUGUUUAAUGGGCCAAUUCAUUGGUCGCCGAAUGCCUUUUAAGGUAGUUGAGGAAGCUAUGAAGAAAGUGUGGGGGCCAAACCUUGUUGAAGUCAUGUCAAAUGGAAAAGGGCUUUUCAUGUUUCGCAUUCCUGAUAGGGAAUUCCGUCGAAGUGUGCUUGAAAGUGGUCGGAUGACGGUUGCUAGAAUACCACUUGUCCUGCAGCAAUGGUUCCCUGGUCUUAAGCUGAGAAGAGAGACCCUCCGUACGGUUCCGGUUUGGGUUAGACUAUCGAAUAUUCCCUUUUCGUGCUGGUCCGCCCAUUUCAUCGGGAGGGUUGCAAGUGCGCUUGGUAAACCUCUAUAUGUGGAUAAGAGAACAGAGCAAGUGAACUGCCUUACCUUUGCUAGGGUCUGCAUUGAAAUUACUGCUGAUCAACCCGAGUGUAAAAUGAUUGAGACAACCCAUAAUGGUACGAAGUGUGAAAUAAGAGUGGAGUUUGAGUGGCGACCCGCUGCUUGUGCUGAAUGUGGCAUUUUUUGCCACAAUUGUGCAAUGGCUAUUAGGCCUAGUAGACCUGGAGUAGAGCGUGCUGAUGCUGGUCGUCCUUCAGAGGAGUCUGAACCUCUUAGCAAGCCCGCAAAUGGCAGCUCUCAGCAAACCAGACCACUCUCGGUGGCGUAUGAGGAUCAAAGGGGAAUGUCUUCGGGUAUGCCUUUGGCCUCUCUUCCGGAAUCUCCAAUUGAUGCUGGACAAAACAGGAGCUCCCCUGGUGGUUCCUUUCCACUCGUUCAGCUGGUGGUGGAUCUGGAGGAACCUCUCCCAUCGCACCAAAGCGACCUUGCGCAGCAUGGGAAUCAGGUUAAAGAUAAAGAGAAGGAGCAGAAUCUGCAGAAUUUGAACCAUCCGCUGAUACCAUUCUCGGAGGAGGGGCAAACUCGCAACCUGAAGGAAGCUGUGCUGGGCCAAAAGCCUCCUAAAGUCCCUGCUAAGCCACUUGAGGCUUCUAAAUUGAUACCGGAAUUUGUAUUGCCGCCUGGAGACCAGGAAGAUGAUACCAACAACUUAUCUAAUGAAGACGGUGGCCACACGCCUAGACCCGCUCCUAUGAGUGGUCUUUCGGAACCUUCUGGAGUUGGUUCGAGCCAAAAUCAGCUUCUCCUUUUGCUGCCUGACCCGCCGGGACCUUCGACUGCGGAGGACUCGAAACCACCUAAAGGUAGGCGUAGGAACGCCAAGCGGAAAUAAUCCUCCCCUUUUGCUUCUAUGUUUUUUGGUUUUUGGAAUGUUAGAGGUAUUAUGAACCCUGUCAGAAGGGCGGAGAUUAGGAAGUUUGAUGUUGCAAAUAAGCUGUGCCUUAUGGGGCAUUUUGAAACUAAAGUUCCUGAGCCUUUGUUUGGUUCCAUUUCUUCCAAUAUUUUGAGAAGCUGGAAUUGGAUUGCGAACUAUGAUUUUGCUCCUCGCGGCAGAGUCUGGAUUGGAUGAGAUCCAGCUACCGUCAGUUUUGAGUUGAUCUCUUCAAAUGACCAAGCCAUCCAUGGGUGUGUGAAGGGGUUAUCUUCAAAUUUUAAUUUCUGUAUUUCUGCUAUUUAUGGCGAGCAUUCUUUUGUGCGGCGGAGGCCUCUUUGGUCUGAUCUGAUCCAUUGUGACGAUCUUUUUCAAGACUAUGCUUGGAUAGUUGCGGGAGAUUUCAAUGCAAUCAAGGACCCUUCUGAUCGCGUUGGUAGCACUAAUGCCUGGAUCCCCUGUUUUGAUGAAUUCAAGCUUUGUCUGGAUCAAAUGGAACUUGAGGAUCUCAGGUACUCUGGCCUUCGAUUUACUUGGUCGACUUCGGCGGGUGCGAAUAAGAAGAUGCGGAAAAUUGACAGAGUUCUUGUCAACUCUAAAUGGAGAAUGGACUUUUCAUACUUGGAGGCGUCUUUUCUUAAUCCUGGAAUUUCUGACCAUACCCCUAUGGUUGUCAGGGUGGUGGAUCCGCGUCCAAGGAGGAAGCCGUUUAAGUACUUUGAUUUCUGGGCUGAUCACCCGGACUUCCAUUCUACGGUUUUGCAGGUGUGGGAUAGUCAAGUGUGGGGAUAUCCUAUGUUUAAACUAGUCUCCAAGCUGAAAUUGUUGAAAUCUCGCCUCAAGGAUCUUAAUCUAGAGGCUUUCUCGGAUAUUUCUCUAAGAACUCUUGAAGCGAGGGAAGCCUUACGUUCUACUCAGAAUCUCCUUCAGUUGGAUCCUGAAAAUGUUCCACUAGCUGAUCUUGAAAGAGGGCAGCGCCGUGCUUUUAUAGACCUUCGUGGUCAAGAGGAAUCGUUCUUUAAGCAAAAAUCAAGGAUUAGAUGGCUGAAGGAAGGAGAUCGCAACACAAAAUUCUUCCACAACUGUGUUAAAGCUAGACAUCUCAAUAACCGUAUCCUCUCUGUCAAGGACACUGCAGGUACGGUGAUUUCGGAUCCUGAUUUGGUGCCUCAAGUUUUUCUAUCUUUCUUUUCGGAUCUACUUGCUCCUAGAGUUGGAUUAGCAAAGCCAGAUCUUCAAGAGCUUACUUCUCUCAUUCGAAAGCCGUUAUCUGAUAGCCAGGUAUGUGCCCUAGCUUCGCCUGUCUCUGAUUUGGAAAUCAAGAAGACCUUGUUCUCACUUGCAAAGGGAAAAGCCCCCAGUCCAGAUGGUUUUACAGUAGAAUUCUUUAAAAGUAACUGGGGUAUCGUGGGCUCUUUAGUUACAGAGGCUGUGAAAGAUUUCUUCUCAGUAGGUUCUCUUCUUAAAGAAGUCAAUGCGACCAUCCUAACUUUAAUUCCCAAGGUGCCGAAUGCUUGUGAAGUUAACGACUUCAGACCGAUUGCUUGCUGCAACACUAUUACAAACUUAUCACCAAGAUUUUGGCCAAUAGAAUUGCGCCUGUACUUCAGGAUAUUGUUAGUCCAUCCCAGAAUGCGUUUGUGAAGGGUAGAAGAAUAAGGGAUAAUAUCUUAUUGGCUCAAGAGCUAUUUGCAGGCUUCCACUUAGACCCAUACCUCCCAAGAUGUGCAGUCAAAGUGGAUUUUCGCAAGGCCUAUGACAUUGUUGACUGGGAUUUCCUAGAGCUUACCCUUACUGCCUUCCGGUUUCCUCUGUGGAUUAUUCGCCGGAUCAUGGCUUGUGUACGCACACCCAGAUUCUCUAUCUCUAUUAAUGGGGAGCUUCAUGGUUUCUUCCCUGGAGGCAGAGGCCUUAGGCAGGGCGACCCAAUGUCACCUUAUCUAUUCACGCUGAUCAUGGAAAUCUUCUCAGAAAUUUUGAACCAAAGGUCUUCGGCUAAAGAGUUCAAAUAUUAUUGGAGAUGUAAGUCUCCCAAGCUCACUCAUCUGUUUUUUGCAGACGAUGUGUUCCUUUUUUGCCAAGCAGAUUGGAAAUCGGCUGUGAUCCUUAAAAGAAGCCUCGACAUUUUCUCUUCAUGGAGUGGUCUUAUGCCCAACAAAAAUAAGAGUGACAUCUUUCUUUCGGGAGGUGAUCCUGCUUUGUGCAAUAGAAUCCUCCAAGAAUUUGGCUUUCAGGAAGGUAAACUUCCGAUUCAAUAUCUUGGAGUGCCGAUCAUCUCUAAGAGGUUGACUAAGGCUAAUUGUACUCAGUUAAUUGAUCGCAUUACCGCGAGAGCCCGCUCCUGGUCCCAUAGGUUCCUCUCUUUUGCUGGGAGACUUCAGCUCAUAAGGUCAGUGCUUCAUGCUAUUCAAACUUUUUGGGCUAGUGUAUUCACUUUGCCCUCUUCGGUUAUCUUGGGUAUUGAAAGCAUUCUUCGUAGAUUUCUUUGGAAAGGCACCUCCUUGGAUAAGGGAGGUGCCAAAGUCUCAUGGGCGGAUGUUUGUUUGCCUAAGGAGGAAGGGGGCCUGGGGAUUCGGUCUAUCAAGGACUGUAACAAAGCCUCAAUGCUGAAAUUUAUUUGGAUCCUCUUUACGGAUAAGGAAUCGCUGUGGUGCCGAUGGAUACACUCCAACUUUUUAAAGAAGCAUAACUUCUGGGUUGCCCCUUAGCCUUCGGUUUGUUCCUGGAGUUGGAAGAAGAUCCUUCAUCUUCGGGGCUGUUGUAGACAAUCCUUUGAAUGGAAGGUCGGCGACGGCCGAUCUACAUCAUUGUGGUUCGAUAGCUGGUUGCCUUGUGGCCCUCUUCAUCUACAAGUUCCUCAAUCGUUUUUGUUGGACCCUGACGUUCCUACAAAGGCUACUGUGGCUUUUUUAUAUUCUUAUGCUGGUAGAUCCUGUAAGUCCCGGUUAGAGGAUUAUGGUUUCUCACUUCCUCCUCUUUCGGUUGAUAACGAUCGUUUUGUGUGGCGUCAAGAUUCCUCGGGAGCCUUCUCCGUAGCUUUUGCUUGGAACGUCAUCAGAACUUCUAAAGCCAAAGCACCUUGGACUCCUUUUGUGUGGGAUAAGGAUGUUGCCCCUCGGUUUCAAUUCCUUUUGUGGCUUAUUACUAAAGACCGCUUGCCUACGCAUUCUCUUCUCCUCUCAUAUGGAAGGAUUGAGUACUCAGCUUGCACUUUUUGUAAUACUCAGCCAGACUCGACCAACCAUUUGUACUUUGAUUGCAAUAUCUCAACUACCAUUAUCUACUUUUGGGCAACUAGGUGCAAUUUGCCGUGGAGGAACGGUACUUGGGCGGAAAACCUUGCUUGGGCUAUGAAAUUCCUUGCGGGUAAGGACUUCUUUCAUAGGCUAUCCCACUAUUCCUUUGGAGCUCUUUGCUAUCUAAUUUGGAAGAAGAGAAAUGCUAUGAUUUUCCGUGGGGAAUCUCUUGAUAUUCCUGCUUUGAAGAAUCAUUUGAUAAAGAUGGUUAAAGAUAAAGCAAUUACCUACAAGGAUGUCCCUGACAAUCCAAGGAAUCGGCGUCUUCAAAGGGGUUGGAAUCUCGACCCUAGUAUCUUCACGUAACCCCUUGGGUGUUAUCUUUUGAUCUUGCUCGGUCGUCUCCAGUGCGGGUGUUCUGGCUCCCGGAUUCCCAGGCGUCCUUUGAGUCCGGUGGCUGUUUCUGGUGGUUGUGUUGUGUCUUUUGUUGUGUUGUUGUUUGUUGUGUUCUUCCUUUCUUUGCCUCUUGAGGCUUUUGCGCAGUUCCCUUCCACUCUUUUGCACGCAGUGAGAGUGUAAGUUUUGGUGCCGUUUGUGUACAUUUGUCCUUUGUCUAUCAAUAUAUUCUUACCUUACCAAAAAAACAAAAAAAAAAGCACCAAAAUACCGUCAGUCAUGGAAGGAAUAAGACUCCAAUCUUGCCUCGUAGUCUGAUAAGGAGCACUUGGACAGAAAAAACAUCAGAUGGUAACAAGUCUGUAUAGAAUCAAGCAUAUAUAUGAAGUAGAAACACACUAUGAUCUACUAAACUGUAGUGAACUCUCCAGCUAAUUGAUCUUUCCAAGAUAGGAAUGGUUGCUAAUUAAAGCAACAAUCUGGAUCUACUGAUCUGAACUAAACACUCCAGUUAUUUGAUCUUUCCAAGAUACGAAUGGUUUGCUAAUUAAGGCGACAACGUUUUAUACUAUCCUAUGAAGUGAAAAAAAAUUUACUUGAUAUUGAUGGUGUAUGAGAGAGGAUGCCCACAUGCAAAUUCAGCACGCAUGUUUAUCGUUUUAGACCAUAACAGAAGGACAAGAAACCAAGUAAUGUCGUAUAAGUCGAGCUCAAAGCUUUGGCCUGAAGAGAUCAAUGUCUCCCCAUCUUUCAUAGACUGGCCUGAACUUAAUGUGUCGGCUGCAGUCGAUUAGCCAAGACUAACAGGCGACAAUGAAAACGCAUCUGAAAAAGGUAGGUGUUUCCAUGCCUAAACUAGAUCAUGCAGAGCCGUGAAACUCUGAGAAACUUAGAAGAAAAAUGCAUGUCAUUAUGCCAUGCAAGCUGAGUUCUAGGAGUUGGACAGGACUACUGGCAACCUUAUAAGAAGCUGUCAGAAUUUUCAGUUGACUCGACUGAUCUACUCACAUUUCCUGCAAGUAUAGAAUGGUAGAGAUCCUUUCUAUUUCACGGGCAUUACAUUUCUUACUUUUAGGACAAGUCAGUCGAAAGCUUCUUCGUCUUUAUCUAACCUUUUGCUUGAUGAUUAGCUCAUACCAGAAUACGCAUUCAUGUCUGAACUAUGCCACACUAUACAACGCAAUUUAUUGUAAUUUGAGUACAUUCACCAUGCCUUUAUCAAUGUCAACGUGGCAUAAGCCUGGGAGGCAUCAUAGACGACAUUUGGCUGAAUGGUGAUGUGAAAUUGUAAGUACGUUGGCAUUGAAAACGUAUACAAGAAAGUCGUAUGAGAGAUUGUUCUCAGAUGAUCAAAUAUAACCGGACUUUAAAUUACGGACUUCUCUGUAUCACAUCACGCUACUAGGUAGACCACAAAGAGAUCCCCACCGGUCUUUUACUUGUUACUGGAGUCUGAACCGAGAGCGAUUGGGACAAUUUGUGGAAACGUGAGAAACUUCUCAAAAGAAGUCACCAUGGGACCCUUCUGCUGGGCAUCAUAGCGGUCAUAAGAUGAUACAUACUUUUUAACCUUUUGUUGAUUUCUUUUUCUGUUUUUGGUCCAUCAACUAUUUACACUUGACAAAUAUAGACUUGGAAGCUCCCAAUAUAUAUCAAUGACGAUUGUUCAUUGAAUUUCAGCAUUUAACUGCUUCAAUCUUCAAGAAUCGGUUUAUUGCCACUAAUUGCAGCUUCUUUUCAAAAAAGGAAUUAUGCCUAAGCAUUUAGUUGACUACCGUGGGCUUCUAAUUGUGGGCGAUUACCGCGACGAUAAAUGUCUUUGGGUUUUUUUUCUAAGUACUGUGGCUUAGAGAAAUUUAUUUGUUUGGUCUUUCCUCCGGACAUUCUGCUUGUCCAGCUGAAAAGAUUUGCGUGCAAUUUGAAGGGAGAUAUGGAUUCCGGAACUAUCUUAUAUGUCAGUUGUCUUGGCGGUUAGAUCCGGGUCACCGGCAAUGCCUCGCAAGGUGAGGGCAUUUAUGAAAUUUUGAAAAUUUAGGGAUGGCAAAAUUGAAAUAAAAAAAUAUGUACUAGCAUUUCAGAAACACUCAAAACCCAAAGCUCCCAUAGACCUGUCUUGGGCUAAGGACUUUAGGAGGCUUGAAAAUAUAAUUGCAUUUUUAAAAAGCUCUCUAAAGAAAUUGCCAAACACCACUUAUAUUUACCCAAAGGCCUUUCAGGUCCUAAAGGGUUUUGGCAAAGUGUUACCACACACAACCCAACUCCUACGUACACAAGCACGAAAUGCAUCGGAAGAAAAGAGGAAGAUGUCUUCGAUUUUCAUUACUAUGAUAAAGUUUAAGUUUGUUGCCUACUCUGUGAUUGGAUGAUAACUUAGGAGUUCACUAUUAAAGUUGCCCAAUAUCCACAACAAAAAUAUGAUACUUUUGUUUGUAUCAUAACUACUUCCUCCCUCACUUUAACGCAAUUACAAUAAAAGAUAACCGCAAUGCAUUCUGUAGAUGAAUUUCAUUAAUUUUUUUUUUCCUUUUUAGAUUUAAUCCGAUGGUGAAUUUGUCAGUAUUUUUUCUACAUAAACAGUGGACCGGAUAAUAAUUUUCAUUUUUAGGUAGUGGGUAGUUUUCUAGUCUAAAAUGUAGUGGGUUAGUUUUCGGUUUUUGAUGGUUUUACUCUUUUAACCUUUUUAACUUUAUGAGAUAAAUUAAUUAAAGUGGAAAACAAAAAGAAGGUUUAAAAAACAAAAAAGUGACAUAAACCUCACUUUUGGCUUAAAUAUAAUAAUAUAUAGUCAGUCAUCGUGCACCGCCACGCGCAUGCCCGUUCUCUGUUUGGUUAGUUUUGUAUGAUGGUUCUUUUCUAGCACGAUGUACAAAAUCUUUUUAAAAGUAAAUAUACGCCCAUCAUAAACCACUGAAAUCAGUAUGUGAAGCUAACCUAAUAAUACCCACUGUAAAUGAUGGAUUGAUUCUGGCAACACGAUUCUUUGAUUCCUAAGAUAAACUUAAGGUCAGCACUGCAUGCAAUUAACAACUUAGUAACAUAAGAACAUAGGAAAAUUUCAAAUAAAAACUUGAAGUAGAGCUUGUAUCAAAUAAGAGCCUGAAAUGGACAAGUUAGUCUCAAAUAAAAAUUUGAAGUGGCCACUCGUCAUUUACCAGCCAAUUAAAUAUUCCGGUUGCUCAAAGAUGUAUUCAUCAAAAAUCAAUUUUGACUUUAAAUUCUUUUUUCUUUUUUUUUUCUUUUUUUUUUCUUUUUUUUUUUCUUUUCAGCAAGGGCCCAUUGACCCUUGCACGCCGUUAACAAGGCAUGUCCAAAUCUAGCGAGUGUCGGCCUUACUAAGUGCAAGGGUGACCUUGCCAAGGAGAGGCCAUCCCUCGUCAGCAAGGCAAUCAUUGCCUAGAUCUAGUGAGUGCCACUAGUUGCUGGCAAGGUGGCCCUUUGCCCAGCACCCUUCGGCAUCGCAAUCGGCCACUGGCGAAUAAGAAAGUGAAAACCAGAGAAAUGAACAAAUUCAAAAAAGGUAAAGGGUGAAAAUGUCCUUAACCAACUAGAAAGUUAGAUUAUUCUUUGAAAUUGACAUAGCCAUUUCAGGCUAUUAUUUGAAAUAAAAUUUAUUUCAGAUUUUUAUUUGAAAAGAUGAAGGCACUUUAAGUUCAUAUUUAAAAUUUUCUCUAAAAAAAUCGAAAAAGAUAGCUGCGGUAUAGAAUCGUUUCCAUAGAUGUAAAAGAACCGAUGGUAGACACAGGAAAAAAAAAAGAGUCGAAUGAAGACCUUUAAACCUGAAACAUGUGUGGAGGUUACCUAGGACAGUGAUCUACACAGAGAGUACCUCACUUCGAGUGGCGUCGGUAAUUUGUUCGAAAAAGGUGUGUGAGGAGUGAGAACGUGUAUUGAUUUCCUUCUGAAAUCACUGACCUGCGCAUGGUAGAUGCAGAAGCGCGGUUUUGAGAAUUCGACAAGCGGGCGAUAUAGUUAAGGAUGUGCAUUAAUACGCGAGAGAAGGAGUUGCUAUUUUACUGUUGUGCCAGUUUUUUGCUUGUCUUAAGAAAAUUCAAUAAAAAGGCAUAUUAGGAACCACCUAAAAGUGAGACUAAUCCCCUUUUUUCUGUUAUAGUAAUAGAUAUCGAUUAUAUAAGUUUCAAAUUAAACAAAGAAAAAAAAAUCCACAGUGCUGAAAAGGCCGCGUCAUUCAAACAUCUUUCAAUGCCUUGCGUUUCACCAUAAUACCAAUAUGUCUAGAUUUAUUUAUCAUUUUGCAAUAUAUCUCCAAAAAGUAACAAUAAAAUAAAUUAAGUAAAGGGAAAAAAUUAAAACCUAAACAGAAUAUUUUAAAAGAAGGCACAUAACCUCUUUAUUAUUAAAAUUUAUUUUUUUGUAAUUCAUAGAUAUUUUGAUUCAAUAAUUUUUUGGUCAAAUGGUAGCAUUUGAUUAGUAAAAAGUAACAUAAGCACAUUAUCACCUUCACUUGACAAGGACUCAUCUAGUCUUAAUAAACCACACCUUUAUUUAAUGACUUAAGUUUUUAGAAUGGUUAGUUUUACUCAUAAGUUCGAAUCUUUUCAUGCAAAUGAGGGAAAGUGUUAUGCUCUCAAUUAUAUAUUUCCACUAUUUUGUUUAGUCCAAAGUUCAGUCUAUAGCUAACAGUGACAGUGGUCUUAUAAAAUCUCACAAUCGUAAUCAUCAUGUCAUUGUUGAUUAGCUUUCUCAUCUAUUAUUGCCUUCGUCCGUUGAUUUAUUUAGGCCCGAUGUCCUAUCUAUUUUCCUGUUCGCACGUGACAUCAUCUGAGCUACACGAUCAUAUUCAAUGUCUUUGCCUUCAAUUGGAGGGAACUUUCCAAGGAAGAUGACGAGGACCAACACUCACAAGGACCAACAAACACUCAUAAUGAACAGAGGCAUAAUGAGUGGAAAUGUGCCAAGAGAAAAAAGAAGGGAAGCCAACAAGGCACAAAACGCGAUUAAGUUGCACAACUACAGCCACAACGAAAAAGGACAAAAACAAAAGAAAGCGACCAGUCGGCCAAACAAAGGCAACCGCAGCCAAAACCAAACAAAACGUCAUUGCCCAAAUGGAAAGGACGAGACAAUCGGCAGGAAUCAAGGCCAGCACCGAAACAAACAACAGCGGGCAUUCUGCACCACCACUCUAACCUGGAAAUAUUAUGGAUGUGCUGGAAAUAUCCCCAGCUAUGUUGAAGUCUCCUGUUUCUUGGGUUGUCUUCAACAUUUGAGAAGGUUAAAGCCUUAUCCUUAACCACUUUAAUAAGGUGGUUCUUCACGGCCAUAAGCGUGAAGGUAUAGUUCCUAAAGAGAAUCUCAUUCCUAUAUUUCCAAAUAAAGUGGCAAAGAGCCCCAAAAGAGAAAUGGGCGAUAGAGUGAUAGAAGUCCUUUCCGGAUAGGAACUUUAUAGCCCAAUAGAGGUUGUCAGCCCAAGUCCCAUUCCUCCAAGGGAGAUUGCAUCUGGCGACCCAAGAGAAGGCACAACUAGCCGUAAUACUACAAUGAAAAAAACAUAUGAUUAAUAGAAUCCAGAGUUACUUUGCAAAAGGGGUACACCGUAUCCCCAAUCUUGCCAUGCGAUAAUGAGUGGAAAUGUGCCAAGAGAAAAAAGAAGGGAAGCCAACAAGGCACAAAACGCGGUUAAGUUGCACAACUACAGCCACAACGAAAAAGGACAAAAACAAAAGAAAGCGACCAGUCGGCCAAACAAAGGCAACCGCAGCCAAAACCAAACAAAACGUCAUCGCCCAAAUGGAAAGGACGAGACAAUCGGCAGGAAUCAAGGCCAGCACCGAAACAAACAACAGCGGGCAUUCUGCACCACCACUCUAACCUGGAAAUAUUAUGGAUGUGCUGGAAAUAUCCCCAGCUAUGUUGAAGUCUCCUGUUUCGUGGGUUGUCUUCAACAUUUGAGAAGGUUAAAGCCUUAUCCUUAACCACUUUAAUAAGGGGGUUCUUCACGGCCAUAAGCGUGAAGGUAUAGUUCCUAAAGAGAAUCUCAUUCCUAUAUUUCCAAAUAAAGUGGCAAAGAGCCCCAAAAGAGAAAUGGGCGAUAGAGUGAUAGAAGUCCUUUCCGGAUAGGAACUUUAUAGCCCAAUAGAGGUUGUCAGCCCAAGUCCCAUUCCUCCAAGGGAGAUUGCAUCUGGCGACCCAAGAGAAGGCACAACUAGCCGUAAUACUACAAUGAAAAAAACAGAUGAUUAAUAGAAUCCAGAGUUACUUUGCAAAAGGGGUACACUGUAUCCCCAAUCCUGCCAUGCGAUAAUGAGUGGAAAUGUGCCAAGAGAAAAAAGAAGGGAAGCCAACAAGGCACAAAACGCGGUUAAGUUGCACAACUACAGCCACAACGAAAAAGGACAAAAACAAAAGAAAGCGACCAGUCGGCCAAACAAAGGCAACCGCAGCCAAAACCAAACAAAACGUCAUCGCCCAAAUGGAAAGGACGAGACAAUCGGCAGGAAUCAAGGCCAGCACCGAAACAAACAACAGCGGCCAUUCUGCACCACCACUCUAACCUAGAAAUAUUAUGGAUGUGCUGGAAAUAUCCCCAACUAUGUUGAAGUCUCCUGUUUCUUGGGUUGUCUUCAACAUUUGAGAAGGUUAAAGCCUUAUCCUUAACCACUUUAAUAAGGUGGUUCUUCACGGCCAUAAGCGUGAAUGUAUAGUUCCUAAAGAGAAUCUCAUUCCUAUAUUUCCAAAUAAAGUGGCAAAGAGCCCCAAAAGAGAAACGGGCGAUAGAGUGAUAGAAGUCCUUUCCGGAUAGGAACUUUAUAGCCCAAUAGAGGUUGUCAGCCCAAGUCCCAUUCCUCCAAGGGAGAUUGCAUCUGGCGACCCAAGAGAAGGCACAACUAGCCGUAAUACUACAAUGAAAAAAACAGAUGAUUAAUAGAAUCCGGAGUUACUUUGCAAAAGGGGUACACCGUAUCAAGAAGUCUUGGAAUGAAUGAAAUAAAUUAUCAAUGUCAUUUCUCGAAUCUAUUCACAAUGCCUUACAAAAAACACUAUUGACCAUCCAACUUUGUCACCGUGACCACAUUAACAGUAUGAAAUUCUUCAUUUGUCUGGGUUGCGCUUAAGUCCAUUGAACUCCUUUCCAUGAAAAAAACCAGGCUAUUUAGGUCCAGGCAAGCUUGCACUUUCAUUUUUAACAUGACAACAACGGAGGACAUCACCGGUCUAUCAUUGGGGAACUUUUGUACGUAUAACAAACCCACAUGAAUACAUCUUUGUACUUGAGGUUCCACCGAAUCAUAGCCAUCAAUGAGUUUCAUGGCUCUGUCUUCACUCCAAAGCAACCAUGCCUGAAAAAAAAUCACAUCCCGGGCUUAGUCACGCAAGACAAAAAGGGCGAGAGAAUAACAUAUGCUCUGACUUUUUUCUCUUACAUGUCCAAGAAGGUUAUGAUGAUGAUUUGGGUGGCAGAAUCCUCUAUUUCUUUUGCCGCUUACAAUCUCUAACAACAUAACACCAAAGCUAAAGACGUCGGAUUUCUAUCCAUCUUUCAUAGACUGGCCUGAACUUAACGCGUCAGCUGAAGUCAAUAAGCCGAAGACUGACGGGCAGACAAUAAAAAGGCAAAUGAAAAAGGUAGGUGCUUCCACGCCUAAACUAAAUCAUGCAGAAGAGCGAAACUGUGUGAGAUUUAGAAGAAAAAAUGCGUGCGCUCGUGCCAAGCAAGCAAAGUUAUCGGAGACGGACAGGAAAGGAUUGCGAUCACCACUGGCAACCAUCCAAGAAGCCCUCAGAGUAGAAUUUUUCAGUUGACUCGACUGGUCAACUAUACAGUGUGAUUUACUGUAAUCGAGUACUUUCACAAUGUGUUUAUCAAUGUCAUCGUGGCAUUAGCCAUGGGGCAUCAUAGACGACAUUUGGUUGAGUGGCGAUAUGAAAUUGUAAGUAUAUUCAAGGCACGUCAAAAUCUGCGGAAACGUGAGAACCUUCUCAAAUGUUACCACGGGGCCACUCUGCUGGGCAUCAUAGUGGUCAUAACAAGAUACAUUCAGUUGACCCGAAGUCAGAUGCCACUCGAAAACGGUUUCGACGCUCCAUCCCAAUCGCAUACCAGCCAAAAGGGUGUUAGUUGGAUUGUCAAAGCUUUGCCAUGACCAUUCACCAGAAUGUGAACUUGUAUUCUCUGAAACGACGAGGUUACCAGAAUCCAACAGCUGGGCAACCGGAUUUUCUAGAACCCUGGAUGAAUUCGAAGACCAGAUGACGCUCUUCGACUGGUUGAGAACUACUAAAUUUCUCUCACCGCUAAACGUGAGAACGCCAUUUGAAUCGGUGAGUGGGUUGUUUCCAUUGGCGACCCAAACGACUGUUUGAGGACUAAAUUUGUACCAUAUCCCCAAGUACUUAUUCGUGGAUUUUUCUGGGGAGAAGAAGCCAAGCUCAAAGCUCUGGCCUGAAGAGACCAAUGUCUCACCAUCUUUAAUGGACUGACCUGAAGUUAAGGUAUCAAAUGCGAUCGACAAGUUCAGCGCCGAUAGAAAGAUCACAAAAAGAGAGUGAAAAGGGGAGGAAUAGGAAAGUUUCCAAUUUCCAUAAAGCCCUCUGCUAUUUUUCCCUUGAUGCUCCUCAUCAGUGCCACUUCUAAAAAUCAAAAGAUGCUUACCGUGAAUAAUCGAGCUGAAAGUCUACCUUAGAGGCUUACAGAAUGUUCUACUAUAAUGCUGGGCCGAUCACCAGCAACUCCCAGUAAGAUAGGUAAUCAAGGGUCAUAAAAUGUACACUUGGUCGAGAAUUGUUGAUUAGACGACUUGCAAUGUCUCCUCACGCAAUGCAAGAAAGUCAGCUCUCUCUCCCUCACGACUAAGAGUCUUCCCCAAGCAGGAGUAUUAAUGGUGUUGACCAUGUUUGAAAGGGAACACCUUCCAGAAGGAGCAUGAAGGCUCUGCUCUGUUCAGACAUGAAGGAAAAUGGAGGUGAUGAAAUUUUGGGUAGAAAAUGGAGAAGAAUACAAAAUUAUUGUGAGAGAGGAUGUAGGGAAUUUGAUUUUUUUUCAACUUUCCACCCAAACGCAUCAGUAAUGUUUAAUGACUAAAACGAUAAACCUAAAUUUGGUUGGGCUUUUAAAGAAAACCUUUGUGGCAAUGCAAAGGGCUUUUAGGUUAAAGAGUUUUUUUGAAAACUAUAAAUGGUGUUCAGUAAAGUGUAAUUUAAAAGUGCAUUGAAAAGUAAUUCUAAUUUAAAUGUUGCUUGGAACAAAAUACACUUAAAAAAUUCUUAUGCUAAUUUUUUCAUUAAAAAAAAAAACAAAUCCUUCACCCAAAUUGGCCAAGAGCUCAGGCCCUUGGCAGUUAGAUUCGGGCCAUCGGCGACGUCGAGCAAGGUGAAGGCAUUUUCGAAAUUUUGAAAGUUAAUGAUGGCAAAAUUGGAAGAAAAAAAUUAUAUUAGCAUUUCGGAAAUAAUUAAAACCCAAAACUCCUACGAGUCAGCCUUGGUUUAAGGGGCUCUAGAGGGAUUUGGAAAUGGAAUUGCAUUUUGGAAAAGCUCUUUAAAAAAAUUGCCGAAACACCACUUGCAUUUUGGUCACCAAGGAUUUAAAGCGUUACCGAGCACAGCCCAACUCCUAGGGACCCAAGCACGAAAUGUAUGUGAAAAAAAGAGGAAGAUGUCUUCAAUUUUCAUUACUACGAUAAAGUUCAUGUUUGUUGCCUCCUAUGUGAUUGGAUAAUAAAUUAGGAGUUCACUAUUUAAGUUGCCAAAUAUCCAUAACAAAAAUAUGAUACUUUUGUUCGUAUCAUAACUACUUCCUCCCUCACUUAAACGCAAUUACAAUAAAAGAUAACUAUAAUGCAUUCUGUAGAUGAAUUUGAUUUAUUUUAUUUUCCUUUUUAGAUUUAAUCCGAUGAGCAGCAUGUGUCAGUUAUUUAUUUACGUUUACAGUGGACCGGAUAAUUUAUAUAAGUAGUGAACAGCUUUCUACUCUAAAAGGUAGUGGGUUAGUUUUCCGUUUCUGAUGGUUUUACUCUUUUAAACUCUGCAAGUCUCUUUAUUAGAUAAAUUAACUGAAGCGGAAAACAAAAAGAAGAUUUCAAAAACAAAAAGAGAGACAAACCUCAUUUUUGGCUAAUAGGCCAGUCACCUUGGAUGAGAGUUCUUUUUUAGCACAAUGUACAAAAUCUUCUUAAAAGUAAAUAUUCGCACAACACAACCACUAGAAAUCAGUAUGUGAACCUGACCUAAGACUAACAAUGUCCAUCCUGAAUGAUGGAUUGAUUCUGGCUCUACGAAUCUCUGAAUCUUGAAAUAAACUUAAGGUUUGCGCUGCACCCAGUUAACAACUGAGUAGCAUAAGAACAUUGAAAAAGAAAGCUGCCAUACAGAACCGCUUCCAUAGGUGUAAAAGAACCGAUGGUAUACAGGUUAGUAAAGAAAAAGUCGAAUGAAGGCCUUCAAACCUGAAACAUUUGUGGAGCUAACCUAGGACAGUGAUCAACACAACAGAGUAACUCACUUUGAGCGGUGUCGGUAAUUUGUUCGAAAAAGGUGUAUGAGAAGUGAGAACGUACAUUGAUUCCCUUACGAAAUCACUGACCUGGGUAUGAUCGAUGCAGAAGUGCGGUUUUGAGAAUUAGACAAGCAGGCAAUACGGUUAAGGACGUGGAUGAACACGCGAAAGGAGUCGCUAUUUUACUGUUGUGCCAUUUUUUUUUUCUCGUCUUAAGAAAAUUUAAUAGAAGGGCAUAUUAGGAACUACGUAAAAGUGAGACUAAUCCCUUUUUCUAGCUAUAGUAAUGGAUAUCUAUCAUCUAAAUUUCAAAGUAAAAAAAAUCCACAGUGCUAAGAAGGCCAUGUCAUUCAAACCUCAGUGCCUCGCAUUUCACUGUAAUACUAAUAUGUCUAGAUUUAUUUAUUGCUCUGCAGUAUAUCUCCGAAUAAUGAUUUAAGUUCGAUAAAAAGUAAUGACAAAAUGAAUUAAGUAAAGAGCAAAUUUAAAUCAUAAACGCAAACAAUUUAGAAGAAGACACAUGACCUCUUUAUUAUAAAAAUUUAUUUGUUGUAAUUCAUAAAUAUUUUGUUUUAAUAAUUUUGUUGUCAAAUGUUAGUAUUUGAUUAGUAAAAAGUAACAUAAGCACAUUACCUCCUUUGCUUGACGAUGGACUUGAGCUCGUCAUAAUAAACCACAUAUUCAAAUAAAAAUUUAAGUAUUUAAAAUAAUUAAUACCAAUUCUAAAUUCAAAUCUUUCCAAAUUGAAGAGGAUAAAUGUUAUGCCUUCCCAAUUAUACAUUUCCGUUAUUUAGGUUUAGCCUAAAGUUUGGUCUCAUAAAAUCUCACAAUCAUAAUCAACACGUCGUUGAUGUUGAUUAGCUUUCCUUGUCAAAUUAUCACGCUUUCCUUGUCAAAUUAUCACCUUUGACCGUUGAUUUAUAUAGGCCCAAUGUUCUUUUCAUUUCCCUCUUCGCACGUGGCAUCAUCUGAGCAGCACAUGUAGAAAAUUAUUCGCAAACAAUUAAUCAAUCAAGAAGAAUCAGAUCCAUAUAUAUCUAUAAAACAGUAAGAUCAAUAAGCAUAGUGGAAUUAAAGCAUACAUGUUUGAGCCAUUGAUUUACUUGAAAAAAAAUAGAUAUAUCUGAUAAUUAGUGAUCUAUCGAAAUGUCAGAUCUUCCUCUAUAUGACAUAUUUCAAUAUAGCAACUUUCAAUGGGAUUAAAGUAACUGAUAUGUAUAACAUACCCUUUUAUAAUCUAAAGAGAGGAUAUAGCAAACCAUAAUCAACAGCAUGUCAAUUGGACCAUUCCCGUUACGAGCUUUAGUUAAACACAAUUGCCCAUACUUUACUGCUCAACUAAGCCCGUUAUUAAUAGAUGUUAAUACCCAAUUUAAUCAGAUAAUUUUGUAGAGUUCAACAAAUAUUGAAAUAUCCAUUAACCUAAUUAUUUAAAAUAAAAAAAUUAAUUAAUUAAUGUAAGCCCAUAUUAUAGAAAAUUUCCAACAACACAACCAUAUUCAAUUUCUUUGUCUUCAAAUGUGGGAAACUUUCUAAGGAACAACCACCGCCUCGGUGGCCGUGAUGGUUUGGGCUCUCUCUCCCUCACGAAAGGGAGAAGUUCGAAUCCCCUCACAGUCGCUUGGGAUUUUAAGUGGGACGCCGGGGGUGGUGGGCCCUCCCGCUUACCUAUCUCCCAAUUUUACUCGCCAGUUGCCGGCUAUACGAGGUUCCUGGAUUAAAAAAAAAAAAAAAAAAUUAAGGAACAUGACAAGGACUAUAGUUCAGGAUCUUCCACCCGAUCAAUGACAGUUUGUCAAAGCUCGUCCCUCCGUCUGGAGAAUUAACAACCCUGAGAAAAGUCGGAAGUGCCAGUCUGGGCUCGCAAUUUCCAGAGAUUGAUCAUUUACACGCUAAUAAUCAUAAUACUGUACGCCCCCUCGGGAUCGUUCACGUAGCUCUGCGACAAUUACGUCCUAGGCUGAUUUCAGACAUUCCAGGAGUGAAAAUACGAAAAAAAUAGAUCUAUAGCGAUAAUUACUUAAAACCGUUAUUAAACAAGCCCUACGCUGGAUAAUAAAAACAAGCCCUAUUCAAUAUAAUAAACAUUUAAAAAUAAAACCACAAUCUUGCCUAUUAUAUUGUUAGAUGGCUCAAACCUAUCAUCAAUGUCGUCAUUCCUAUUUGGUAACUAGUCAAUAUUAUUUAAUACUAGGGGUGUGCAACGGGACUGAGAACCGCUCAAAUUGCCCAUAACCAAACCAGAUUGGCCUAAAACCGGCGGUUUCCGUGAGAAUUGGCCCAGUUUUCAAUUGCAAAUUACUAGAACCAGUUAAUACCGGUCUGGUUCUUGGUUCUAGGUGUAGAAUUGCCCACCUACCCAAUUGGAAUAGACCGAUAUAUUUAUAUUUUUAUAUGUAAAAUUGCAUUGGUGAAUUGAUGUUUUAAAUAAAUAAACAUAAUGGAGAAGGUGUAGUGAGAGCAAUUCUUUCCUUCCAUUUUGCUUUGUGAAGCAACAAGAGGAAGAAGAAUCACCAAACUGAAACAAGAAAAGAAAAGGAACAAUGGCGGUUGAUGAGCCAACGAUGUUUGCUUCCAUGAUGAUGGUAAUUUUGGGCUUACUCAGGUUCAUCCUAAUACAUGUAUAUAGAGAGUUCAUAUGGGGAGCAAGGAGGCUCAGAUCAAAGCGUUAGAGGCAAUGAAUAGAGGGACCUCCUCAUACAUCAAGAAAUAUUAAUUGAUGAAUGUAAUUUUGUAGCGAUUGAGAAUCGGUUCCAUGGAUCCAUUCGGGAAUCAGACUGGACUGGCAAUCCAAUUUUCAAGUGGAUCCAUAGAACUAACAGACGGUUCUUGAUUCCAAUUUUUUGGAAUUGGUCAUUAGUGGAUGGUUCCCGUUGUAAGGUGGAAACCGCCGUCUCGAUAUACUUUAACAACGAUAUUCAGCUCAUUGGAAACGCCACCAAAUUUAACUCCAUCCCAUGGCCCAGUUCGAUAUACUUUGGCUGAACCAUUGCUGAUUAUUUCAAGUUGAGGUAACCCAUCGAUUUUGUAUCUGAAUGUAUAAUCUCCAGGGGAAGGAUCGUCUGUGCUUCUCCAGGAAGUCAGAUGAUGUUCCAAACCGGUUUUAAAGUUCCAUUCCACUGUCAUACCAACCAAAAUCGUGUCUGAUGGGUAAUCAAAGCUUUGCCAUGAGUAAUCAACAGAAUCUAAACUGUUGCUUUCCCUAAGAACAAGGUUACCAGAAUCUAGUUGCUGUACAAUUGGGUUACGGAGAACCUUAGUUGAAUUCGUUGACCAAAUGACACUCCUUGAUUGGUUGAGAAGAACAAGUUCGCCUUCAUUGCUUAUUUCCAGAGUACCAUUUGAAUCAGUGAGUCGAUUGUUCCUAUUAGCAACCCAAACAACCGUAUCAGGACUCGCCACGAACCGUAUCCCCAGGAAAUUGCUCUUUGAACUUCCAGCAGAAAAGAAACCGAGCUCAAAUUUUCUGCCUGCGGAAACUAAUGUCUCUCCCUCUUUAAUAAAUUGUGCUGAAGUCAGGGUGUCAACUGCAGUAGACAAGCGCAGCAGUGACAAAACCACGAUGGAAGUGCAGAAGAAGCUGAAGAUCGGAUAAUCUGCCAUUGCAAACCCUUCUGUUUGAUCCACGAGAUAAAGUAAACAACUAGAUAAAGAUUCAAACUUUUCAGAAUAGCACGACUGGAUAAGAAACAGAAGACAGAUGCCUUUGUUUGGUGCAGAGCGAGUUCUAGGAGUUCCAGAUUGGAUUGAGUUGGGUCAAGCAAGAAGCUAAGUCACACAAAUGUUCGUCGAUCACUCUUUAACCUUCCUGUAAUCGUCACAGACCAAAUCUGACUCAAAUUGGUGAAAAGGCAAGUUUUAUUAACGUGUCACUUACACGCUUUCUGUUUUGCCGCCAUCGUCACCAUCCUUGUUGCACCAGUCCAAGCUCGCAUACGGCUAAAUGAUGCGGAAAGUAGUAAGGCAGUCCCAUCGGGAGGCGGAGAUACCGCUCAGCUACUAGGUGGUCUCCAUGCCACGAUAGUUCAUAAUGUAAAUAUGGACUUGACCCGGUCAAAGCAAAGAAAAAGAAAAAAAAAGUCGACCGGUCAAGAGGAAAGAAGGAAUAAGGGAAAGAGAAAGGAGGGGCUUCAAGCGUUCCCGACGCAGACUCCUCGCCAACCCGAUUCAACUCUUAUUCACAAUGCUCAGUAAGUGCUCACACCCUUUCUUAUUUCAACCAGAGCAGUUUUUGGAGUUAGGUCAUAUAUUCAAAAUUUUGUGAAUUCAAGCCGCGAAAUCUUAUUUUAUUUUAACUUAUUGAGCUUUGGCAUUUCAUGGAAAUUGUGGAUUGUGGUGUCAUAGAGACAAGAGGGGAAAAAUAUAAAAAAAAAGUCAUAAACCUAUUACAUUUGUACCAAUUCAGACAUAAAUCUUUCAAUUGGACUAAUUUAAUCUUAACCAUUUUCACAUUAAUACCAAUUAAGUCCAUUUAGCCAAUUUUGGUCGGCUGGGGCUAACAUUGACAUCGGCCGGUGGCCGAACGCUGAUGUGAUAAUUUUUCAAUAAUUUUAAAAUAAUUUUUAAUUUUUUUCAAAUUUUUUAUUAACUUUUUUCUUUUUGUUUUUUCCUUUUUCUUUCCAUUUUCCUUUUCUUUUCUCUCUUCUUCCUUUUGGAUUGUCCUCGCAAUAGCCGGUGAGCCUCCAACGAGGCUACCGGUGAGGGUUGCAGCCCUCGCCCGAUCUCACCCAGGCCUUUAGGGAGGCGAGCUAGGGCCGUGACCCUCACUGACCACCACGAGGACAAUUCAAGGAGAAGGAAGAGAAAAGAAACAGGAAAAAAAGAAAAAAGAAACAAAUUAUUAAAAAAUUGCCAUGUCAGCAUUUGCUAAAUUGGCUAAAUGAGUUGAAUUGGUACCAAUUUGAAAAGAUUUAUGACUAAUUGGUCCAAUUGAAAAUUUUAGGAUUGAAUUGAUACCAAUACAAUAUGUUUAUGAUUUUUUUUAGUACUUUUCCUAGAUGGGAGUCAGUUUAGAGCUAAUGGUUUGGUGGAAGUAAAGACUUUAGGAUUUCACAUGUGAGUUCCAUGUUGCAAAUGCUUGAAUAAUUAAUUUUGGGGAGCAAUUUGUUGUCGUGUAUGAAUUGUUUUAUUAGCCUUUAAGCGUAGUUUACUUGGUUUUGACAUUGAUUAUCAUAGCUGCGUGUUGCUUGGUUUUGGGUAUUUCCAGGUAAGUAGUACUAUCUCUUCUUCAAGUUUGUAAAUUCAUAUUUGGAAAGCAAUAUGGAUUAUAUAUAAUGUGGGUUAAGAAAUGGCAUUAUUGUUGUAUAGAAAAUUGAAUCAAGUAUUUACUACUUCUUGGUUAUUUAUGAAUAUUUUAGAAAACGUGUACUACAAGAUAUUGUGAAGAUAUACAUAUGCACAUGUUUAACUUUGCAAACUAGUUUGCCAAAAGAUUUUUUAAUAAUAUGAGAAAUGCUUUGAGAAAGGUAUUUCUAGCGGAUAAGAUGUAUUGUGAAAAGGUUAUUUGCUUUGAUUUUUAAAAUGUAUAGUGGUUUUAUGAGAUUGAUUAUUGACUGGAUUUCUAGUACUGGAGGAUGAUUAUUUGAUGCUAUGUAUACCAGUUUUAGGAUAUCCUUUUGAGCUAAGUUGGCCUUGUGAGUGAAGACCUAGCCAAGGAGGAAUUUUUAAUCUUCUUGUCACCAAGCAUGUGUCUUAACUACAGUAGAAUAUUGAUCAAUAGAUUUCUUAAUAGAUUAACCAUUGACGUGUGAUNNNNNNNNNNNNNNNNNNNNNNNNNNNNNNNNNNNNNNNNNNNNNNNNNNNNNNNNNNNNNNNNNNNNNNNNNNNNNNNNNNNNNNNNNNNNNNNNNNNNAUGUUAAUUGACCAAAUUCUUUUCCUUUCUCUAUGACGUGGUUUGCAUAUCAGAUUUUUUCUAAGACAAAUCAAGAAGAUCCCCUCACGGAUCUUUCCCCUGGCCAUUUGUCUCAACAGUUUCGGGCAAACGGUUCCCCUUGUUAAAUGAAGUUCAACCCGCCGAAACUCGGAUGACUUAAUAAUUCAUCCUCCUCCCUACUGGGGAGUGAAAUUCCAUAACAUGUGAGAACUCGUUUUACUUAAAGAAAGAGAGAAAGGGGUAAGGGGCAACGUCCGAGGGGGAAAAAUCAGAAAAGCUAAAAUGUCUGACGUGGCAAGAACCUGGUCAUAGAGAAAAAGGAGAGAAGGAAAAGGUCAAGACCGACGACAAAAAUAUCGGUCAUGCUAAAAUCUGUCAGAUUUGGCGAGAACGUGCUCAUCGUAUCGUGAUUACUCAUAUUCAAACAUUGGAACGGUCAUUACACGCAAUUUGGGCUUGCAAAUUCCAAUGACGACACUCCACGUCUGGUCACUAUGGAGAAGGGUCCAAAGAAAACAAAAAAGAUAUUAUGGUUCAACUAGCAAUUUUUGUAAUUGGCAUUGGAAAUAAUUAAUUUUAAGUAAGGAUAUAUAGUAAAGCCAUCUUUCUUGAAAGAUGGCUGGGACCUUAUCUCGAAUAAGAGUAUAAAAUGACCAUCUUAACUCCAAAUAAAGCCCGAACUUAUCGGCCGACUAAAUUUUUGCAAGUGAGCUUUUUGUGAUGGCUAGAAUAGGGGCAAUUUUGCCCAAAAUAUUCUCAUUAUAUAGAAAUCGGAGCUAGAGUUCGUGUUAACCAAUUGAACAAUGACCAAAACUCUAAAAAAUUAAAAAUUAAAAAACCUCAAAUUGAAUUCGCAAUUCAUGUUUUGUUCCCCUCCCACUACCGUUGAUGAAAACAUUUGGGCAACUUUUUGCUAGCGAAAGACAAAGCUUAUAUUUUCGUUUUUUUUUUUUUUUAAGUUCGUGUGUCAUUGUAUAUAUGAAUUCAAUAGACCAAACUUUAUAUAUAAAGGUCUGCUAAAGAAAAGUGUCAUCUCUAUGAAAGUCAAGAUAGCAAACCUAAACUCUCAAGAUUGGAACGGUCAUUACACGAUAUUCAAACAUUGGAAUAGUUAUCACACGCUAUUUGGGCUUGCAAAUUCCAACGACGACACUCCACGUCUGGUCACUAUGGAGAAGGGUCCAAAGAAAACAAAAAGGAUAUUAUGGUUCAACUGGCAAUUUUUAUAAUUGGCUUUGGAAAUAAUUAAUUUUAAGUAAGGAUAUACAGUGAAGCCAUCUUUCUUGGAAGAUUGCUGGGACCUUAUCUCGAAUAAGAGUCUAAAGUGGCCAUCUUAACUUCAAAUAAAGCCCAAACUUAUCGCCGACUAAAUUUUUACAAGUGAGCUUUUCGUGAUGGCUAGAAUAGGGGCAAUUUUGCCCAAAAUAUUCUCAUUAUAUAGAAAUCGGAGCUGGAGUUCGUGUUAACCAAUUGAACAAUGACCAAAACUCUAAAAAAAUAAAAAUUAAAAAUUAAAAAACCUCAAAUUGAAUUCGCAAUUCAUGUUUUCUCCUCCUCCCGCUACGGUUGAUGAAAACAUUUGGGCAACUUUUUGCUAGCGAAAGACAAAGCGAUAUUUUCGUUUUUUUUUUUUUUAAGUUCGUGUGUCAUUGUAUAUAUGAAUUCAAUAGACCAAACUUUAUAUAUAAAGGUCUGCUAAAGAAAAAUGUCAUCUCUAUGAAAGUCAAGAUAGCGAACAUAAACUCUCAAGAUUGGAACGGUCAUUACACGAUAUUCAAACAUUGGAACGGUUAUCACACGCUAUUUGGGCUUGCAAAUUCCAAUGACGACACUCCACGUAUGGUCACUAUGGAGAAGGGUCCAAAGAAAACAAAAAAGAUAUUAUGGUUCAACUAGCAAUUUUUGUAAUUGGCUUUGGAAAUACUUAAUUUUAAGUAAGGAUAUACAGUGAAGCCAUCUUUCUUGGAAGAUUGCUGGGACAUUAUCUCGAAUAAGAGUCUAAAGUGGCCAUCUUAACUUCAAUAAAGCCCGAACUUAUCGGCCGACUAAAUUUUUGCAAGUGAGCUUUUCGUGAUGGCUAGAAUAGGGGCAAUUUUGCCCAAAAUAUUCUCAUUAUAUAGAAAUCGGAGCUGGAGUUCGUGUUAACCAAUUGAACAAUGACCAAAACUCUAAAAAAAUAUAAAAAAAUUAUACAACCUAAAAUUGAAUUCACAAUUCAUGUUUUCUCCCCCUCCUGCUACGGUUGAUGAAAACAUUUGGGCAACUUUUUGCUAGCGGAAGACAAAGCAAUAUUUUCGUUUUUGUUUUUUUUUUAAAGUUCGUGUGUCAUUGUAUAUAUGAAUUCAAUAGAUCGAACUUUAUAUAUAAAGGUCUGCUAAAGAAAAUUAUCAUCUCUAUGAAAGUCAAGAUAGUGAACAUAAACUCUCAAGAAAACUUCAAAGAAGGAUUUAAAGUGUUAUCAUUUUCUCAAAUAAGUGUCUAAAGUGGCAAUGACAUUUUUAAAUAAGGAUCUAAUCUUUCUAGCCAACUAAAUAUCUUGGUAGUCAAUGACGUUUUUGUUUGAAGAUAAUUUAACUAAAAUAUAAUUUAAACUAAAUUUUAGUUAAAUUAGAAUAAAAAUUAAGCAAGCUAAAAAAUCUUGAGAAAAAAAAAUAUAGGCUAGAGGUUAGAUGAGGUCCAGCAACCCUCGCCCAGAUCUAGGAGAGGAUCAUGGCCCUCUCCAUGCUAGUUUAAUUAAGAUUUUGUGUAAAAAUUAGGAUUUGAAUCAAAAUAACGUUAUUUUAAUCUUUUAGUUAACCUUAAUGUCAUGUAGAACACACGUGGGAAAGAUAAAAUAUUGAAAAAAUUGCAUUAGCAUUUUCCAUUACUUCAAUUAGAUGAGGUUAGCAUAAGAACCCAUAUUUUAGAAAAUUGAGCUCUUGGGGGAGACCUGCAAGCCCUCGAUGGCUCUAGAAAAGGUCAUCUAGCCUAGGUCCUCAUGGGCCACAGGCAAAGCAACCCUUGCUUGGCCCUCUUCAUCAUCACUUGAGAUAGGCCACCGGCAAAAAGGAAAGAAAAAAAAAAUUAAUAUAAUAUUAAUUGACGCAAAUACCCUUGACCUAUAGUGAGGUAAUAUUCAUUUUUAAGAUUGACAUAAUCACUUCAGAUUCUUAUUUGAAAAUAUGAUUGUACUUUAAGUCUUUAUUUGAAAUUUUCUCCCAACUCCCCUCUAUCAGGUCCUAGAAAUUUAAUAUUUCCUAGCAAAUCAUAAUUUAUUAACGGCCUUCCUAUAACAUCCAGCUACUAACAAGCUUAAUCUUUUAGGUGCUGAAUUUUUAUAUUUUAUCAUUUAAUUGGGUUAUUAAACAAGCCCGAUACUGAGAUAAAAUGUUUCUUAAUUAAUCUAAAUAUGGGACUAACCUGUAAUGAGAGGGCAUGAUUGGAAACUUUAUAAAUAGUGCUCGAAUCUCUCAUCUACCAUAAUUCUCACAGUAUCCUCAUAUAAGAAGCAUUAACCUAGCGCUAAAGGUGAGGAUGCCGUCUCAUUGAGCCAGUGAUACAAAAGGCAAUAGAGGAGAAAGACUUGCGCGUGGAACAUCAGUUUUCCACUUCCGCUUCAAGAACGAUGGAUCCCAAAAUAAGUGCGUUAAUCUUUCUACUCAAUUAUGCAUGUUCUUGUUCUGGUUAUGGAGAUUUUAAGAUUGCGCAAUUUACAUCUAACACGUGGUAUUAGAGCAGUCAUAACCUUAGAACUCGAACGCAUAUAAUUUUUGCCUUAAUUUGAGAUUUUCGUGAUUUUUUGUUCAAUAAAAAUCAAAUUAAAUUAUAUAUUCGGAUAGGGCUCAUCGAGGCGAGCAGAUCCGUGGGCGAUGCGUCGCCAGAGGAGGCCGCACACGCAGCCAUGCGCCGCUUGGGCGUCAAAGACACGCCCCACGCGCGGUCAUGCGCCCUCACACACUUCCACGCACGGGGCGCGGCUCGCACGUGCACGCGCGACACACGCGAGUGCUAACGUCACGAUGACCUCAGUGACCCGGGCUUGAACCGACCGGACCUGAUUCGCGUUGACUGACCUGACCCGAUCAACCGGUUGGACCAGACGGUCGAGCCAAGAACCAGUCGGACCGUGACCGGUCUUUGACCUGUCUCUUCGCCCCGCGCGUGAGCUCCACGCGCCACGCACUUAGGCAACGUGUGAAAGCUUCGAUGGGCGUGUGGCUAGCGGCGUUGGAUUUGUAUGACCAUUCUUUAUGUUGUGGUGUAUUUAUUUUACAUGUUUGAUAGUUUUAUGGAUAUGAAAAUACAAGCGGAACCCUAAAUAGGUGUAUUUUUAGUGUAUUUAUCUAUGAUCUUAGAAAUACAAGUGUUGGGUUACUGGUAUGUUAUCACAUGAACAUUGUAAAAGUGUUAUUCAUUAAUAAUAUACAAUAAAUUUUUAUUUUUAUUAAUGAAUAAGAUAGUGUAAUUAGCAUGAUAUGUGAUUUCAGUGAUAUGUUGACCAUAUCACUAAAGUUAAUAUCACAUGUAUAUGAUGUAUGUGAGAUGUAAAAUUUAUAUCCCUGAUAUGAGAGAGUUUCAAUGAUUCAUUUGAAUUGUGAUCGCCAAAGUGGCACACUUGAUUGGAUUUGAGAAAUUUCAAUCUCGUAUAAUAAUUGGGAUGUCUCAUGGUCUAAUGCCUAGUCAUACUUCCAAAGGAGAUGAUUAUGUAUUAAUUCAAGGAGGGAUACAUGAUGGUGUGGUAGAGGAGUGACUGAUCCUAGUGUUCAUAUGCCCAAAGGUGAUGAAUUCACGAAAAUUGGAAUACAUUCUCAUAAUCAUUAUAAUGUGGGAAGUGUACAAUUGCAUGCCAUGUAUUCUGUCCAAAGGUGAUUGUGUGAUUUUGCAUGUAAUUUUCUGGAUGUGUACUUGUACGUCAAGUUACACAAUACUCACAUGAUGUUAAUUAUAUACACUACUUGUCUUUUAGUCACAUUUUCUGUAAACGGUAACUCCCUCACUAUUAAGGUUCUUGCUGGUUCAAAUUUUAAGAGAUGGAGAGAAUAUUUUAUGUUUGCUAUGGAGAUGGCAGAUGUUCAUAUGGCUCUUACUGCCGAUCAGCCGGCAGAUAUUACUACCAAGAGUACAGAAGCUCAGAAAGCACAUUUUGCUACUUGGGAAAAAAGUAAUAGAAUUUACUUGCUAUUCAUGAAACGUUCCAUUCAAGAAUACUUGAAAAGUGGUUUGCCUGUAGACUGCACUGCUAGACAAAUGAUGGAAGCCGUGUCUCGUCUAAUGCUAAAAUAGGAACACACAUGCAAACACUAUUUAUUAUGAAGUAUGAUGGUUCUUGUGGAGUUAGAGAUUAUGUUCUAAGGAUAGUAGAUUUGCAGAGAAAGCUUCAGACUCUCAAUGUUGAUAUUCCCACUACCUGCAUUGUGCAUCAAGCUCUAAAUACUUUUCCUCCUGAUUUUGGGAUUAUCAAGAUCAAUUAUAAUUUUCAAGAUGAAACCUAGUCAGUUAAUGACCUGAUUGCAAGGGUGGUGGCAGAGGAAGACAAAUUGAAGAAAGAUAAAGGGCACAUUGCUCUUUAUUCUUUUAGUUCUGGUAGUGAUAAAGGUAAGAAGUUGAAAAACCAUACCCACAAGGGCAAUUCUGAAGCUGCUAGUACUUCCAACAAUAAAAGAAAUUUUGAAGGUGCUGGUUCUUCUAACAGUUUGGGUCCUAAGAAAGCAUUCUCCAAGAAAGAUGGUGUUCUUUGCUACUUUUGCAGGGAGAGAGGACAUGUAAAGAAAUGCUGCAACAAAUAUAAAGCUUAUUCCAUUAAUUCAUCUCAUAUGAAAUAACACGUCAAUGGUUCAUACAUAGUUCAAUCUUUUGUUCAAUUUCAAACCAUGGUCACAACAUAGUGCUUGGUGACAAGAUCAAGAUUCUCCCCUUGUAAGGUAUCCACCUACAAAGCCAGUGACUCGGCCUAAAAAGAUAUCCUAAACCCAAUAUGCAUACCCACAAGCCCCUCGCUAGGCUCACAGAGAUAUUAAGCACUAAACCCACAUCCUCCAAUAUCCAGAAACUUAAUCCAUAAUCAAUCUCGUGAUCCACCAUAAAUUUAACAAACCAAUCAUAUAACCUUUCAUAACUCGAUUUCCUCAAUAGAAAUACUUUCUCGCAAAGCAUCUCAUAUCAUUUCAUAAAACAAAUUCACAAUCAAAACAAUAAUCUAUAUCAUAAAUCAGUUUCACAAAUCGAAUCGAAUCAAUUUUUGCAACUCAAUUUAUUAAAUAGAUUGUGUUUCUCAAAGCUUUUCACAAAUUUAUAUCCAUAUAUUUUGGCAAUUCCUUCGCAAAGCAUUUAAUCAAGGUGUUUACAAAUAAUCAUUCCAACUUAUUUCAAAUAAUGCAUUUUUUAAUUCCUCACAAACCAAAACUUAUAACAUGUAACAAAAGAAUUCUUUUUAUAAAGAAUUUCCUUCAUCCGUUGCACAAUAAUAAACUCAUAAGCCAUUUCCAAAAAUGCUUUGCCAUGCCAUUUCAAAAUCAACAAGGUAGUAAAUGCUCGAUCCGAAUUUAUGCAACAAUUAUGCUUUAAACAUCACUUCUUCCAUUUUUAUAAAUAAAAUGUCAUGCCAUGUCUUUCAUACUUAUAUGAUACUCAAAUCGAUAUCACUUUUAAUUAAGACAUGAGUUUUCAAAUUCAAUGAAGAUAUAGCACCACUCACCUGAAUAUGCCCCAAAUCAAAUAAUAAAGCUCACUUGAAUCCACGUACUCGCAUUCCUAUUAUAUAAGAGAGAAAUAGCAUAAAAACCAAGUAAAAUACUAUCUCAACUAACGACUCGACUAAACUAUGCUUAUUCGUCAAUAAAAUGACACCUACAAGCUAAAAAAAAUCACAUAUCCAAAGCAAUUAUUCAAGCGGUCCGCAAUGCAGACCUUUGAGCGCGACACUUGGUCACACUAUAACUCUUUCCGCCGAACCCCGUUCCGAACGUAUUUAUAAUCAAUAGGAAGCUCUUUCAACGUGUCAUAAGAAUCCCAACUUGACCGACCCAAAAUCAAGCCAAAAAUUGACAAAAUAUGGGCGUGAAGUUGUUGGACGCACAUUAUUCACUACACGCGGGAAACUUCAAAAUUUUGUUUUAGGCAAAUCCUAAGCUCAAAUCGAGACCCGUAAAAUCCUAUAGUUCCAUGACCCCUAAGCUAUCAUUUCUAUAAAAAUACGCGGCUCAACAAUUCAAAAAUUGGACUUCACCGCUCAAUUCUCCCAAAAUUCUGAAUUUCAAAUCCUAAGUCCAAAACUACUCUGGUUGGAAGAAUGAGAGCCACGAUUACUUACCAGGUAUUGUCGAUAAGCUUGGUGAGGCACCCGUGACAUGAACACACAAAGUUGUCUCUCCUCCUCCAUCUUCCUCCUCCUUUCUUCUUUUCUCCUCUUUUCUUCUGCCCGAAUAUGUCCUAUCUUUUCCUCUCUUUUUUAUCGCUUCCCCUUUUUUUCCUUUUUAUUUCUUUAUUAAAAGUGGGUCCCACCACCUUCUCUUUGACCUAGUAAAAAAUCUCAAAUAUUACAAAGCCAUCGAGGCAAUAAGCUGGAGAUGGAUUGACCAAAAAAAAUAGCUGGAGAUGGAGAUACGACAAACCGGCCAGAGUGCGAGGACAUCUCUGAAGAUGAACAGGUCAAUGACAAUUCUUCCACCCGAGAGCUCCCUUGAAAGGAUUAUGCCCUAUGAGAAGCAAUUCCAGACCAGCACAAUAGAAGCAAUCAAGAAAGUUAUACGCUAGGCGACAAGCAAACUCCUCUUCCUACCCAAGUUUUGCAUGACAUUGAGAAGCCCUCUGAUCUCUUCAAAAUCUAUCAUCACACCUUAAGACUCCUAAUUUUAUUAGUACUUGGUGAUAAAUGUGCCAUUUUUCACGCUCAAUAAGAAAACCAUGUAGCCUAAAAUGAAAAGAAAAACUGUGUUCUCAGUUCUCUCAGACUCGGUUGACCAAGAUCAUCAUCCCUUUGAAGCAUAAGUCUUUAUUUAAUGCAAGCAUAUUGCUUGUACGAUUUGUUUUGAAAUUACAAAUGAACUAUUAGCAUCGGGUACAAAAUUCCUUGCGGAUCUCUUCUGUUCCGUCCUAAUGGCGUCAAAACCCUAAAUUAGCCUAAAGAACGUGGAGUAUCUCCUUCAGGAACAAUAAUCUUAAAGGAUGAGAUCUGCCUUGGUUUCCGUUUAUUGAAUGAGUUUAUGUGAGGAUCGGUUUGGUCCUUAAUUCAGCUCUUAGAUACAUAAUAUCGCCUGGAUUGAAAUGUUGUCCUGCGAUGCUUCAUAUGAAGUUUUUUCCCGUUUAUUGAAUGAGUAUAUGUGGGAAUUGGUUUGGUCCUCAAUUCAGCUCUCAGAUACAUAAUUUCGCUUGGAUUAAAAUGUUGUCUUGCGAUGCUUCAUAUGGAGUUUUUUCAGUCCACAACACGAACGCCCAUCAGACCAACAUGGUUUCAUUCAAUCCCUUCGAAAGCAAAGUCGUGUUCUUUUCUCUCUUGUGCCCCUUGGAAGAGAAAGACAACGAAGGUCAACGUCCUUAUAAUAUAUUCCUAGUAAUGUACGAACCGGUGCACAUAAUUUAUUCUCAAUAGGUAAGAUCUCUCCAGCAAGAAGAGUACCCGUCUUCACUGAAUCUCUAGUCCGUUCAAACCCCACCCCCCCCCCCCCCCAAAUAAAAAAGGACCAAAAAUUAGAAUCUUUGCAUACCAGCCCCAAAAUGAGCUUACACUUCCAUUAGCUCGUAGAUGCAAGAAAAUGAAAAGAAACAGUAUGUAGAGUUUAAAUUGUAAUCUAAAUGGCCAUAGCUACUGGUUAAUAUGUGAACUGCCCACAUGGAACAUUCUUUAUUUUUUCGUUGGAGAAGUAAGAUGCAACUGAGGUUGUUAGGGGUCUCAUUGUUUUAAUCGAAGUUUUUCAAUGUCCUUAAAAGACAAAUGUAUGUCCGUCCUUUCAAAUAACAACUUAAGUUUCAGGUUGAGAAUACCUUAUUGAGAUCAUUUCAGCCAAAGUUUAAAUUCUGAAUGACACUGCCACAAUUAGAUUCUCAUGGCAUUCUAUGUUUUGAUGUUAUGUGUUAUUGAUCUCAACAAAGUGUAAAUUUCCAAGACUAUGUUUUCCAACUUCCUUUCUUCUUGUCCUCACAAUUACUGUCAUCCAAUGCCUAUCUUUUGACGAAAGAGAGGGAGGAAAAAAAAGAGAGGGAAAGACAGUAUUCUACAAUGAUUUUUUUGUCUCAUUUGGGCAGUACCAUUUAAAAUGUCCAAAUGAAGGAUCUUUUUUCAGAAUGAGAAUCAUAGUUAAAGUUGCAACAGUUGCUGACCAAACCAAAGAGCGUUAUUGAUCAAAGCAUUUGACGCAAGAGUAAUAGCGGGUGCUCAUCCAAAUUGAAAUAAUAAGAUGACACUCAACCCAGACUCUGCAUCCAAGGAAUCUCCCCUCGUACGUGCCAUUCCAAUCGAGCUCUUUCAGAGGAAUAUUUCCCUAUUUUCCUCAGCGUUUCGGUAUGGAAAUUUAACUGCUAGCUCACUCUCUCCUCUCAGCGAGUCGGUUUCGUUAUAUUAAGUGAAUCCGCAUUAUCCUCGAUGGAUGCACAUUGUGAUUUAUAGGACUUCACUCAUCAAAAUGCUUUUCGCUGCACCGAUUUUAUGGAGUGCGGAAUGUUCCUUUCAAUCCAAUAAUCUGAUAGUAAAUUUUUCUUAUCUAUCCUCUCCUCUCAUUCAUUAAGUUAGUAAACCGAUACCUUUCACACUCGCGAACUCCAAUGGAAGUUGUCCAGGACAACCCUUCGUCUUGCUUACCAAAGUAGACUCCUGGAGUCCUGGAGUAAUUUACAGAGAUUCAACCACGUCCCCCAAAAAUGUCUAGUAGAAACACAUUCUCUGGUGACUGGAUGGAUCACAAAGAAGAUGACGAGAUCUUUGGAAUACUUCCUUUGGUAAUCUUUUGACUAUCAUUCCCAGCUUUAAGUACAUAAUAUUUGCCCUAGCAGCGGAAGACAAGAGUGAAGGUGUUCGCUCUGGCUCACCGCUUCUUAGGCACUACAAAGUCCGUCAUUUCUAUGGCUUUUCAUUGCAUUAUUAUAAGAGAAUGUUGUUUCGUUAUGGGUGAUACAUUUGCUUUAUAAUCAUUAUUAUGUUGGCACUCAAAGACGGGACUGUCGAGCAAUUCAGAUGCUGGAAAUCACUGCAUAUCAUCUUACCGUCCUGAACCCUCAUUAACAAGGAAGACAAUGGCCAGCGUGCUCAUCAAGGAAUUCUUUGAGAAGCAUCAGAGCUAUCGUAUAUUACUCAGUUUCUGAAACCAAUGUUCCAAUGUUCCGGAAAUGCUAAAAGAACAAUUGCAUGGACAAGUCAUAUCCAACGAGAAGUCCCCAAGCUCAGGACCUGUUUCACAAGACACCUCCAGACAAUGCUCGAAGCAAAAGCUUGAUGGUCUUGGAUACUAAUCGCCCAUGCACGCCAGACUAGCCACCAUGUUGGGCAACAAGGUCGGUCCAGAUGCCGCACAUGGGAGUAGACUCUCAAACUCAAUAUUUGGCAUCGAUAGCGGACCAGCAACAAGCAACAGCAGUCUGAACGUAUUUGUCAAUGGCACAGGCAUUUUGUGCUUUCGGUCAAAAAUAGCACCGGUGAUCUUUUCGAGUAACAGGACUAGAUAUUUGGAGCUCUGCUCCAGUCAGAAUGGGUUUCUGCACGAUAACCUUCUCGAGCAUUAAUUACAAGUUGGCUGCUCAGAUGAUUUCUAAGACUGGUCAACUUUGCGGAUGCCAUUAAAGCUAGCAUCUUGCCCCCUCUGUCGAGUGAAAUAGCCACUAGUCUGCUCCUAACCAAGAGCACCUCCCACCGUAGUAGAUUAUACUUACUCUUAAGUAAAAAAUCUAUAAUUCAUACGCAGAUCAAUUCUUUACUCGAUUAAUUCAAGUGGGGAAGAUAGAAAUAGAAAGAGAAAUGUUUGAAGGGGUAGAAACGGGGGAUAAUACAAACCAUGAAAUCCAGAAACAAGAUAUAGUUAUCGUAGAUCCAGAAAGAGGAAAUAGAUUAAGCAUAUGUCAUCACAAGGUUCGGAGGUACUUUAAACAUCAACCGAGCAGGAUGAUGUAGCAAUGGCUAUUCGUCUGAUGUCCACUGCCGUCGGAAGAUGAUUCAUCCUCAACGGGAUCCUCUAUGGCUUCAUCAGUCUGGGGGCACAUGUAUUAAUGUUUGUUAGUCAUUGCAACGUGGGCCCAAAAGACCAGAAAGCAGUUGAGAAAGGAAGUGGGAGAGGGGUUUCUCUGUAGUUGUCAAGCAAUUGAUCCCCAAGGACCUUUCUCGUACGCAUACCCAAUCUCAUCGUGUACCACGACUAUUCAUGAAAAAUCUAUAUAAAUAUUGUGGUGCACUUUGACAGAGCUUACAGAAACCGGAAUUGAGGCCAAUUCGCUUGUUGACACCUACGCCCAUCUUUAUUUCUGUCCAAUAUUUGUGCUCCCAAAAGAUCAGCCCUCGUAGAUUUCACAAGGUUCUAGAGAAAGCUAAAUUUUUGCACUCAGAAAAAGCCUUUUUGGAAAAUCGGUGUGAGAAACAUCUUUUAAAUGUGCAAAGAGUGCCCUGGCCACAAAAAGAGAGAGAGAGAGGACUAUCGCCAUUGUUAUUCAUGCAAAUUUAAGGGAGUAUUUUCUUUUUCUAAUUUUUGAACAUUGCCAAAACAAUUAAGGUCUAAUAAUAACAUGACCAUUAUGCUACACUUUCAAGUUGUAGUAUAAUCCAUUCAUCAGUGUGUAUCACGGGCCUACUGCUAGUUUCUAAGCAGUUAUGUGGCAGGACUCUUCCUAUAAAAGUUAAGGAAAAAUGAACUUCCCGUGGUGGGGGAGGAUCGAUCCUUAGACAGGACCAGGGAAGAUGGAAAGGAUAAAAGAAAAAAGAAAUAGUAGGUGACUUACCAA
RNAcentral lists this long non-coding RNA (56401 nucleotides) under Eucalyptus grandis. RNAcentral's name for it is "long non-coding RNA (EGRA_LNC003589)". The record is from RNAcentral. Lineage: Eukaryota; Viridiplantae; Streptophyta; Magnoliopsida; Myrtales; Myrtaceae.